RNAcentral lists this long non-coding RNA (53005 nucleotides) under Triticum aestivum (bread wheat). RNAcentral describes it as "long non-coding RNA (TAES_LNC021208)". Lineage: Eukaryota; Viridiplantae; Streptophyta; Magnoliopsida; Poales; Poaceae. The record is from RNAcentral.
UUUGUGCAUCUUCUGAUUGGUCUUUAUUUGCCGUAGGGGGCGGUGGCGCUGAGCAACAUAACGUCACUGGUGGAAAAAGGGCCUUUGGUCGCGGUUCGCAACUGCCAUUAGUCGCGGUUGCGCAACCGCGACCGAACGGGCGCGACUAAAGGCCCCCCCCUUUAGUCGCGGUUGCUUAAGAACCGCGACUAAAGGCCCGUCCACGUGGGCGCCAGGUGGCCGUCGGGGCGGAGGACCUUUAGUCGCGGUUCUUCUGGCCAACCGCGACUAAAGGCCGCCGCAGGUUUAGGGUUUUAGCCCCCCCCCCCCUUAAACCUGUUUUCUGUUUAAUUUGUAUUGUUUUAUUUCUUUUGUGCUUUAUUUUAAUUUUGAAGGAGUUUCAUAUAUUCUACGGUACUACAUACAUGCAUAUGAAUGUACAAUUUCAAAUAAAUUUGAAAUUAGAACCAAAAAGAAUUCAAGAGGAAUAUACAAUAUAUAUUCAAUAUCAUCGGAUGACCAUAUACAAUUUUGAACAAGUUUCCAUACAUGAUUUAAUGCAUAUAAAGUUCUACGUCCUCGUAAUAGUGUUCUCCUUUAGGAUGGAGGACUUCCCUGCUGAACCAUCCAGCUAGUUCCUCUUGAAGUGGUCGGAAGCGAGCUUCUGGACUAAGCAUCCACCGGAGGUUAUUCCUCUGAGCAUUGGUAUCACUCGGAACCCGCUCAGAGGUGUAUCUCCGGAUCAUCUCACAGACAUAGUAUUCACAUAGAUUGGUCUCCGGUGGCUGAAUAUCCCCAGCAUUCUUAGCCUUUAACAUUUUGAAUUCUAGCUCUUUUUUGAAUUCACCGACCUUUGUAUCUACGAACCGUCUCCAAACCCUACGAGGCAAAGAAAAUUAAAUGAACAAGAGAGUUAUUAAUUAGUUACUUGAUAUUAGGAAAUGAACGAAAUAGGCCGAUCGAUAUAGAGCGCAAAUGAAUGAAAAUAAUUACUUCUGCAGCAUUCUUCUCAUGCCGCCCCAAAGCUUUGGAUCCAUAUUCACAGAGUCGUGGACGAGACAUUCUGAGGUGUUAACUUUAAUUACUAGCAGAAUCCAGUGGAACCUGCGGACACGAUACAUGCACAGUACGUCAUGCAUAACUCAUCGAUUAGCCGGCCACAUACCAUGCAUGGAGUAAACAAAAGAGAAUGUGCUCAAUACAGAAACACUCACUCAAAAUGGUAAGGAAAUAGAAUAUCACUUUUGAGUUCCUGCUUUGUAAGAAACUGCCACAGGUCUGCCUCCACGUCGGCGGGGUAACGCUCCAACACAUGUCCAUUAACGAUGUGUGGGUCAAUGAACCCAACAUCAUGGAUGUUCCUUACUCUGCAUUCCUUAAUCUUCAUUCUGCAUGUAUAAUAGCGGACACAACAAUAUAGUUAGGACAUAUAUAUAGUGCAGGCAAUAUGAACGAGAUGGGGUAGAAAUUAAUAAAUCACUUACAGAACGUAGCAACUGAUGAUAGAUUUAUCGAGCUCGCGCAGAUUGAAAAGCUGGAACAAUUCACUCAGUUCAAUUUGUACAUAGUAAUGUUUGAAGUGAUGCUCAUGUCUAACUUCCGCAUAAAUAUAUUCUUUGGCGUUUUUAUUUUUUAUGUAACCCUUAUACCAUUUCAGCAGACCUUUCAUUUGUGGAGGUAGAUCCUUUUCCUGCGCAGGCUCGACGAGAGGCCCAUUCUUGACAUAUGUAAUUACUACCUCCUUCACUGGCGCCUCAUCAAGGCCUAACAGUUCACGAAGAGUAAUACCUAAGUUGGCCGCUUGUUCUCUGGCACUCGUUACAGUCAAUCCCUGUGCUGCCGCAGCUUGUAUGAUCUCGGGGGCAUCCGGACAGAAGGCUUCCACUAUAAGCGGGGCAAUCGAUUGUUUACUUUGAUCCCCGAGCUGGGCAACUUGUUUCCCGCUUUUUUUACUUUCGGCCUUCUCCCGCUCUUUGUUCUCCUUGAACAUGAGUGCCUGCCUGCGAAGUUCACGUGCAUAGUCGUUAGGCAGAUUCUUCGCGGCUUGGGACGGUGUGCUCAAAAAUGACUUAGCCCACUUCUUUUGCUCAUCAGAAAAUACUGGCUUGGGCUCGGGCUCUCUUUUCUUCUUGCAGUCCGCCUUCCAUUUCUCCAAAUCAGCAGCCGCGGCCGCGUCGACUUCCUCGGCACUACGUUCCCAAGGCCUUGUGGGGAGAGGCUUCAGUGAUGGCUCCGGUACCUUUGUGGUCUUAGGUACAUAAGGGUCCGGGUUAAUAAUCCAGGACUGCUUCUGCUUCUUUGCCGGAGGUGGAUUGGGGGGCGGCGUCUGAUCACCCGCCGGACGAGGACUGGGGGGCGGCGGCUGAUCACCCGCCGGACGUUGUGGACUAGGGGGCGGCGUCGGCUGACGUGACGGAGGUGUAGGUGAACCGCCACCACCACCACCACCACCACCACCGCCACCGCCGCCACCACCACCGUAGGGGGGUGGACUUGUUGUCCUUGGCGCCUCGCCUGGAAACUUGAUAAACUUCUUUUGCCAUAGAAUCAAAUGACGCUUGACAUCUCCAAGUCUUUUCUCCCCUUCAGGUGUAGCAAUGUCAAUCUCCAGGUCCUCAAACCCUUGGACUAUGUCCUCCACCGUGACACGAGCAUAGCCAUCUUGAAUGGGGUUGUUGUGGUGGAGUGCUCCAGGUAAACAUGGUAAAGCACUGCCGAUGGCUACCUUCAUGGACAUGUUCCCGAUAGGAUAAUACAGAUGACAUUCUUUCAUCUCCUUUAUAUCGUCCACGGGGUAGCGAGGAGGCUCCGGUGAAGUAAUUUCGACCACCAGAGGCUCCGGUGCAGUAAUUUGGACCACCAGAGGCUCCGGUGCAGUAAUUUCGAUCGUCGGUGCAUCUGCACCAGCCGGUGGGGCCUCCGUGGAAGCCACGCUGCUUCUCCGCUGUUGGCUUCCGAGAUCCGCUGGAUGAUCUUCAUGCUGCACCCGAGCUGCAUCUCUUUCGGCUACUAGUACACUCAUGGUUUUCUUCAUCACAUCCAUUUCCGAUGCCAACCGCGCCACAACAUCUGCUUCCCGAUCCAUCUUUCUCUUACGGCUUCUGUAACCGUACGGGUCAUCGUUCUGGGGGAACCCUAUUUUCCACGGAAUGUGCCCCAUGCCUCGUACACGUCCUCCGUGUUCAGGAUUCCCGAGGGCUUUUGUCAGCGCGUCGUUCUCUCUGUUGAACUUGAUCUUCCCCUGUUGAGCAUCCCUCAUUGCGUUAAUAAGGGCUUGGGUGGGUUUAAUUAAUUUGCCCCGGUAAACACACUCCCCUGUCUCCGGGUUCAGCGUUCCCCCAUGCCCGUACCACCAGCUUUUGGCCCUUGGGUCCCAUCCCUCCGUACCUGGACGGAUUCCUCGCGCCCUCAGCUCGUUCUCCAUCUUCUCCAACCUAGGCACCCAAAUGCGAUACCCUCCUGGCCCCAUAACAUGAUUGUACUCCUUCUUAGCCGCAUUUUCCUUAUUUUUUUCGAUAUUUGAAUGAACUGCUCCGAUUUCUUUUGCUUCACAAAUUUUGGCCAAUCAUGUUUCAGUUUCUCAUAUUGUCCUUUGAAAUCCGGAGUCUUGUUCUGCUUGACAAAGUCAUGGGCUAGAUUUUGCUUGAAUUUCCGGAAUGCGUCGGCCAUCUUAUGAAGAGCGAACUGUUUGACUAGCCUCCUCCUCUCCUUGUUUUCCUCAAUCUUGUUACCCUCCUCAUCGAAUUUGUUGUAUUCCGGAGGUAGAACAAAAUGUUCCGUAAGCUUCUUGAAGCAAUCUUUUUUUGUUCUCUUAUCGACAAAAGUGAAACCAUCAAUUCGUGCCUUCUUUGGCUCAUUCCACUCCUGGACGGUGAUCGAGACGUUGUCUCUAACAAUGGCUCCGCAUUGGCUGACAAACUUGGUGGCGUUCUUGCGGGGCUCCAGCGGCCUGCCGGUUGCACUGUCGACAACCUCGAUGGUGCAUGUUUCUCCUUGUUUCAUCGUCUUGGUUGCGCCACGCUUUGACGACGUACUCGAUUGUUUCGACGAUCCGGCCGAGGGCUAAAAUAAGAAAGAGUCGCGCGCGUUAGUACACACAUAUUUAUUCAAAUCAGUUAGUUUGUAUCACCAGAGGCUCAAUGUAUAUAUAUACCUCGGCGCCGGAGGUGGUUGCUACUUCCAUUUGAAGAUCGUCGUUUAUCGACGUUUGUUCGGCAUCAUCUUGCUGACGGCGCCCUUCAUCUUCACCGUCAAGGUUCAGAUAAGAAGAGAUAUCAUAUUCUUCUUCUCCGGUCGGCACAUAUAGAAUAUCGCCGUUUAUGAUGCCGAACAUAUGUGCUUCACCAUCCGGAUCAUAGUUGUCCAUAAUCGGGUCAGCUCUAUCGUCCGCCAUUAUGUCAGUCCUGAAAACAUGUAGUAAAAACAAAUUAAUUAAGUGAAGAAGGGGGGCGGUGGCGGUGGCGGUGGCGAAAGGGCGGUGGCGAAAGGAGGGGGCGAGGAAGGGGUGGGAGAGGGUGUCGCGGUAGAGCGCGAGACAGGGCGGCAGACGACGGCGUCACGGAGAGGGGAGGCGAGGACAACACAUUUAUAACCCUCGCCGUCCCCUCUCGAUCCCUACAAAAACACCGCGCGCAUCGCCGCCCCCUCGCCGCCCCUCUCCGUAUAAACAAAUUGUCCGAACAGAGCUUGGAGUAGAGUGGCUAGGGUUUGGCCAGGGAUGCAGAUGGAGACGAAUAUAUGUGGGGUCGGGAUGGCCCAUGUGCAGGGCGGGGGGUGCUGGCCACACUCUUUUUUCUUUUCUUUUUCAUUUCAUUUCAUUUUUUCUUUUCCUGUUUUUAUCCUUUUCAUCUUUAAAAAUCGACGAUGCCCAAGGUACACGUUCUUCUUACAAUUUGGCAAAUGUACACUUUCAGUCUCAUGUAAGCAGUGCGUGCAUGCAUUGUAUCCCUUAUUUGACAGUCCCGAAAGGUUACUAAGAGCAGGCCAAUCGUUGAUGGUUACGAAAAGCAACGCUCGUAGGUCAAAUUCCUCUUGUUUGUGCUCAUCCCACACACGGACACCACCCCACAGCUGUAAAAGUUCAUCAACUAAUGGCCUUAGGUACACAUCGAUGUCGUUGCCGGGUUGCUUCGGACCUUGGAUGAGCACUGGCAUCAUAAUGAACUUCCGCUUCAUGCACAACCAAGGAGGAAGGUUGUAGAUGCAUAGAGUCACGGGCCAGGUGCUAUGGCUGGAGCUCUGCUCGCCAAAAGGAUUCAUGCCAUCCGUACUUAGAGCAAAUCUUAUGUUCCUUGCGUCAGCUGCAAAAUCUUUGAACCAUCUGUCGAUCUUUCUCCAUUGCGUUCCAUCUGCGGUGUGUCUCAACUCCCCGUCCGACUUACGGUCCUCUUUGUGCCAUCGCAACAACUUGGCAUGCUCUUUGUUCCUGAACAGACGUUUCAACCGUGGUAUUAUAGGAGCAUACCACAUCACCUUGGCGGGAACCCUCUUCCUGGGUUUCUGGCCCUCAACAUCGUCACCAGGGUCAUCGCCUCUGAUCUUAUAACGCAAUGGAGUGCAUACCGGGCAUUCAUUCAAAUUCUCGUAUUCACCGCGGUAGAGGAUGCAGUCGUUGAUGCAUGCAUGUAUCUUCAGAACCACUAAACCUAGAGGGCAGACAACCUUCUUUGCUUCGUACGUACUGGCGGGCAACUCGUUAUCCUUUGGAAACAUAUUCUUCAACAUUUUCAGCAAGUUUUCAAAUGCCGAGUCAGCUACACCUGCCUCUGCCUUCCAUUUCAGCAAAUCCAGUGUGCAGCCCAGCUUUUUCAGACCAUCAUCGCAUCCGGGGUACAGCGCCUUUCUGUGAUCCUCUAACAUGCGAUCCAAAUUCUCCCUCUCCUUUUCAGUUUCGCAGCGUCUCCGUGCAUCAGCAAUGGUCCGACCAAGAUCAUCAACGGGAUCAUCACGUGCCUCUUCUUCACCUUCCCCUUCACCUUCAGCAUCCUCCAUGAAAGUAUCACCGAAAUGAGCAAGAUAGCUUUCAUCGAUGAAAUCAUCCCCUUCUUCAUCUUCUUCCAUUAUAACCCCUCUUUCUCCAUGCUUGGUCCAACAAUUAUAGCUUGGCAUGAAACCCUGCCGAAGCAGAUGCAUGUGAACAUCUCUUGAGGAAGAGUAACCCUUCUGAUUCUUACAGAUAACACAUGGACAGAUAACAAAACCCCCCUGCUUGUUCGCAUUAGCCACUACGAGGAAAUCUUUCAAACCCGUAGUGAACUCGCCGGAGAGUCGGUUACCGUACAUCCAUUGCCGAUUCAUCUGCAUUAUUAUAAUAUAAAAUAUAUAAUUAACCAUCAUGCAUUUGUUAAACUAACUAGCUACAAACAAUAUAAAUUAAACAAUGAACUGCACACAUGCAUAUUUUAUCAAUGACACACAUGCAUGAAAGGUUCAAGUUGCUAACCGCGAUCGAGGAGGAAAAAAUAAAUGAGGAACCUCAAGUGUGGCUCCAACACUUCAUAUCAUGUUUGUUUCACCCUCUUAGGGCAUUUCAUCAAACACCUUGUGUGCAUAAGAGGAACCAAAAGCAAACCUACACCCCCUUGUGAAGCUUGUGAAGAGAAGUGGCACCAAAUGGCUAANNNNNNNNNNNNNNNNNNNNNNNNNNNNNNNNNNNNNNNNNNNNNNNNNNNNNNNNNNNNNNNNNNNNNNNNNNNNNNNNNNNNNNNNNNNNNNNNNNNNNNNNNNNNNNNNNNNNNNNNNNNNNNNNNNNNNNNNNNNNNNNNNNNNNNNNNNNNNNNNNNNNNNNNNNNNNNNNNNNNNNNNNNNNNNNNNNNNNNNNNNNNNNNNNNNNNNNNNNNNNNNNNNNNNNNNNNNNNNNNNNNNNNNNNNNNNNNNNNNNNNNNNNNNNNNNNNNNNNNNNNNNNNNNNNNNNNNNNNNNNNNNNNNNNNNNNNNNNNNNNNNNNNNNNNNNNNNNNNNNNNNNNNNNNNNNNNNNNNNNNNNNNNNNNNGCGACUAAAGCCCCUCACGUGCACCAGCUGGCCACCGAGCGCCCUGGGCCCAGGCCUUUGGUCGCGGUUCGUCUGCCGAACCGCGACUAAAGACUUCAUUAGUCGCGGUUCCUACAGUUUUGCGACUAAUGGGGCUGGACGGAAGCCUCUUUUUCUACCAGUGCGUACACGAACCUGAAGGGGACUUCGAGGUACAAGACGGCCGUCGAGUUCGACUGCAGCAAGAGCGGCAGCUGCACGAACAUCCACGUCAACUCCGUGGCGAUCACAGCUGCGUACGGCGGAGAAACCGUGGCCCGCUGCCAGAACGCGCAAGGGGACACCUCCGGAUAUGUCUACCCGAAGAUCCCUUGCCUUAGAUAAUGUAUGUGAUAGAAAAAAAAUAGAUAAUGUAAUAAUACCCAGCCCAGGGUUUAGCAGUGCAUUUGGAGGGAGUAUCCCGUGAUACCAUCUCCCACAUGUUUCCAUGCUCCAAUUCCAAAUAUAUCUAUUGUAAAUGUUUUAUAAAAAAUAUGGAGAAAAACAAUAUGUCUACAACCCUUGAACAUUUAAAGUCAACCCUUGAACAUUUAAAGUCAGUGAACAAUAUGCCCAUGCGUUGCAACGGGAGAUAAAAUAGUAUGCAUUUAAAGUCAAUAAAAAUUAUAUAUGCAAGCAAAACCCUGCGUGCGCAUGAAAAAUGAACAUUUAGUUUCUCGGUUUCGCCGCGUGUGAAGGAAUCAAUCCGCUAUUUUUUCAUUCAUUGAUUGAGGGCAUUUAAGAGAAGACCCAUGAGUUAUUCAAUAUACUCUUCCUUUCAAUUCUUUUCAAUCGAGGGGAUUUCAAGGUAUGUAGUUUCUGAAUAUUCUAGGAGACAUGAACAAUGUUUUAAAUACUGAACAAUUUUUUGGAAAUUAUGUACACUUUUGAAGAAACGCGAACAAAAUAUGAAAGGGAACAUAUUUUAAAAUUCACAAACAUUUUUUGAAAACACCAAUUUUUUUUAUUAUAAAGACAUGAACAUUAUUUAAGUUUGUGAAUAAUUUUUUUAAAACAGGAACAUGUGUUGAAAAUUCAUAAAUAUUUUAGAAAAUGUGUAUAUUUUAUACACUAACAUUAUUUUUAAUUUUGAAAAAUUCAGUAAAAUAAGAACAUUCUUUGAAUUCGGAGCAUUUUUUUAAAAUGCCAUUUUCUUUUUAGAAAUCUCGAACAAUUUUGUAAAGAAAUAUUAUUUGAAAAAAUGGGAAACUUUAAAAGUUCCAAAUAUUUUUCAAAACAGCAACAAAGUUUUGGAAUUAUGAACAUUUUCCAAAAUUUGGUUUUGUAAUUCUGAAUUUUUUUGAGAAUUUUUUACUUACGAAAUAAAUUCUAAAAGAAAAAUAAACUUGGUAGUGAAAAAAGAUAUAGGGAAAUGAGAAUAAAAAUAGAAGUAAAACACAGAAAAAAAUGGGUCAGCAUAUUAUUGGUUGUCCUGUGCGAAACUCUGACUAUUUGUCGCCCUGUGCGGAAAAUAGAAUUUCCCCAGCUGCGAGGGCAGAAAAAUAAGUGGGCUGGCUUUGCUAGGCCACAGCGCGUGGCCCAUGUACGAAAAAUCUUUUUCUAGUAGACAAACGCAUAAGAAUUUAGUACCACCUCGGAUAAAGAAAAUAUUUUCUGUGGUGAACGGAUGAAAAAUUUGACGAAACACACCUUGCUUUAUUGGUAGGUGUAGAUAUAGAUAUAGAUAUAGAUAUAGAUAUGGAGAAAAAUAAUAUGUCUACAACCCUUAAACAUUGCAAAUCGGCUGAACUUCUGACUUUUGGAAUGUUCCUAUUUCUUAGAUGACCGCUUCUGUUAAAAAACACGAUCCACAAAUUCAAAGGCCAACCGAAAAUAGAAAAACAAACAUGGGCAUGAAAAUGAGCCCACUUGAUUAAAGAAGAAAAAAGGCAGGGCUACAACAAAUAACAAGGAAAGCGAAUCAGGCCCGAGCACAUGGAUGACAUCAUCUCGAUGAGACUUACUAAGUGAGCAAAAGGGAGGAAUAUGGAAAUAACUAGUUUUUUUAGGGAACAGAAAUAACUAGUUACCCUUUUGCAAAAGUCACUCCCCACCUUUUUAGGUGGUUACAAGUAGCCCACCUGGGAUUUUGUCGUUUUUCCUAGACUGGUUUAUUCAAAAUAUUUUAUCUUUUGAAUCAUGUGUCCUAAUCCUGAAUCAUUUUCGUGGUUGGAUUUCUCGCUUUGAGAUUUUCAAAACUUCCCAUGUUAAUAGGGUUUGACCCAAAAAACAUGAAAAACCAGCAACGAAAAAACAAAUUUCAUAAAAAACAAAAAGCAAAAAAUAACGGCAACCAAAAAAAUACCAAUUAACAAAGAAGGCGAAAGAAAAAAAACCUAAGCCCGAAAGCAUAGUUAUGGCUUUUCACCCUUUUUCCACUUUUCGAGAAGCACAAAAUAUCUUUUCCCGAGAAGUAUAUCGUGGAAGCAAAUAUGUGCCUCUCAUGGAAGCAUAUUUAAAAAAACAGAAUUGUGUUUCUAGCGAAAGCAAAUCUAUACUUUUCAUGGACGUACAUAUUUUUUUUUUAUUUUGAGAACCACAGUUGCACUUCUCACGGAAGCAAAUUCAUGCUUCCAUGAGAAGCAAAUAUGUGCUUCUUGUAAACUCAUAGUUUGUUUUCCUUUUCGAGAAGAUAGUUGUACAUCGCAAAAAGUUUUUCCUAAACCUGGGAAAUACCAAGCAAAAAACAAAAGACCAAAAAAGAAAAAAAAACUCAAAAUGUGAACAGAAAAAAUUCAGAUGGAGCAUCCAGUACGGACAUGUGACGCGGCUGGAUGCACCACUUGGCACGCUCACAUGCCACAAAAGUGACCCUUGCGAGGCUUAGUUAGUCUCCAGAAAUUCUAAAACAAAAGGUGAGCACCAGUACCGGGCCUGGUCCAUUUUCGGCCCUGUGAUCGAGCGAUCGCUACAGGCGAUAAAUACUAGUCCCCUGUAUGGACUAAAAAAAUCAAUAUCAGUCUUUGUAUCCGCAAGCCGCCGGGCGCCGGGCACAGCAUUGCCACCAGUUGACCUGCAAAGUGAAAACUGUGGCAGUAAUCACUGUCUAGGUAACUUCCAUCAAACACAUUAAGCUACGCUACAAGGGCGCCUCCUUGUGCGUGCCACGUCGAACACAUUGGUUGGGUAGGAAAAAAAGAGGGGUAAAAAGAAAAAAGGGAAACUAAAAAGGCCUCUCGGGAAACCCUAGAGCCAAUCACCACCGCCACUCUCUUCAAUCCCCUCCGCCACGCCCGUGUCCCGUCUCCCAUUCCAAUCCCCUCUGAUCCAGCUGCUGUGAUCUGCAUCUCCUUUGGCUCCUCUCCUCGUCUUUCUUGCGCGACUCCUGCUCGAGUGCGGGGCAUGGAGAUGGCUGUCCGCGACGCGGGCACACGAUGCGGACAAGCGGCGGUGGCGUGCCGUGGCUGUACUGGGUUGGCCGGCCGAUUCCGCUCGGAUCUUGUUCGACGAGAUUGUUGGCGACGUGUUGCGGGAGCAGGAGAGUGGGUUUUGGUCCCGGCAGUUUGGGGCACGCUGUUGGUGCUUGUGCAGGAGAACGGUGGCUGCAGCGGCGCAUUCGAGGAGAGCUGCGUCGACCCCCUCUUCGUUAUACAUGGCAGCCGACUGAGCUCCGCGCGCCGGUGAAUCCAGGCUCUCUCUUUUUUGUGUGAGAGGAUAUCGUUGUCGAGCCUGAGGUGCAGGCGGCCAUGGAAAGACAGGAGACGCCACACCUCGCUGCCUCGCCCUUGCGUGCUGUACAGGCCGCUAUCUCUCUUUCUCCUCUAUCUUGAUUCAAUCCUCAAAAAAUCUCAUUUUUGUCUCUAUGCCUACAAGGUAUUCAAUGAAAGAGCAUGUACAUAUGUGAUGUUUAUACUCGUAUGUGUUAUCCAUUGUCUGUCUUUUAGUUUCAGACGAUUUCUUUAAAUUUUUAUCAUUUUCAAUUUCAUGAUGUUACUUCAGGAGCUGAAGUAAGAGAAAAUGAAGGAUGUUGUGCUGAUGCAGGUCUGGAGCACUACUCGGAGGCCUCGUUGAGUGGGAGGCCAUGCCGAGUGGAUCUACAACAGUCGUGUCAGGUUUGGUGCCCGGGAGCUGGAGGCAGGAAGUCAAGGUCAUCGAUGUCGCAGUCCAUAAAUCAUCCUCCUUGUUGUGCCACCCCAUGGACACUUUCAUCUUUGGUCGCCCCUCCUCACGGACGCUUCAGAACGACAUCUCAGCACGAUGUCGGUGGAGGAGAGGAUCACUAUCGUGCGCUCAGCGACGGGAAUAAGCCGAGGUCGUCAUUCGACCUUAAUUUCAAGGUACCUUUGUUGUUUAAUUACAUUCCCUCCUAGCUAGCUAAAAAGAGACAUUCACUUCUAUGUGUGCAGAAUUACGUGAGUUGUCAGUGAAAAGUUAGUAGAGCUUGCUUAAUCAUGAUGUAGUAAUUAGUGCAUUGCUGCUUAUGUGAAUUUUUUUAGGAAUGAACAUAGCCACGAAAUAAAAUUGACCACUAUGCUAAAGAGGCUUAUUCUAAACAUGGCAUCUUUAUGUUAGUUACCUAUAGUGUCUAAAUGCUUACUUCCUAAUUUUCCUAGAAAUUUUUGUGUCCUUCCUCUUAGCCUUUAGGCACUGCAAGUUACAUAUAUGUGAAAUUGUCUGUCUCCAGCAGUAGCAUUUCAUUCAUUUCGUUUGGAGCAAGUGAUGAAUGCCUUGAUGCGCAAGAUCUUGAACUUACAUGCUGGCAAGAGAAUAUAUUCCUACCAUUGACAUGGUUCAGUCUCCAUGGGUCAAACUGCACAACAGCUUGUAGGCAACUAGAGAUGAUAAUCAAGCCUUUAUCGCACACCUUGGACUCGGCACGAAACUGUACCUCCUAUUCAAAAUCAUGUCCUGGUAAGAUGAGAUGUAACCAAACCUAUAGGUAAUGUGAUUUUAUAAUUUUGACGUGCCAAGGGAUUAUGGUGGAUGUUGGUUGUUUUUGAAGGAAAUAUGCCCUAGAGGCAAUAAUAAAGUUGUUAUUUAUAUUUCCUUAUAUCAUGGUAAAUGUUUAUUAUUCAUGCUAGAAUUGUAUUAACCGGAAACUUAGUACAUGUGUGAACACAUAGACAAACAGAGUCUCACUAGUAUGCCUCUACUUGACUAGCUCGUUAAUCAAAGAUGGUUAAGUUUCCUAGCCAUAGACAUGAGUUAUCAUUUGAUGAACGGGAUCACAUCAUUAGAGAAUGAUGUGAUUGACUUGACAAAUCCGUUAGCUUAGCACUAUGAUCGUUUAGUUUAUUGCUAUUGCUUUCUCCAUAACUUAUACAUGUUCCUAUGACCAUGAGAUUAUGUAACUCCCGAAUACCGGAGGAACACUUAGUGUGCUAUCAAACAUCACAACGUAAUUGGGUGAUUAUAAAGAUGCUCUACAGGCGUCUCCUAUGGUGUUUGUUGAGUUGGCAUAGAUCAAGAUUAGGAUUUGUCACUCCGAUUAUCGGAGAGGUAUCUCUGGGCCCUCUCAGUAAUGCACAUCACUAUAAGCCUUGCAAGAAAUGUGACUAAUUAGUUAGUUGCGGGAUGUUGCAUUAUGGAACAAGCAAAGAGACUUGCCGGUAACGAGAUUGAACUAGGUGUGAUGAUACCGACAAUCGAAUCUCGGGCAAGUAACAUACCGAUGACAAAGGGACAACGUAUGUUGUUUUGCGGUUUGACCGAUAAAGAUCUUCAUAGAAUAUGUGGGAACCAAUAUGAGCAUCCAGUUUCCGCUAUUGGUUAUUGACCGGAGAUGAGUCUCGGUCAUGUCUACAUAGUUCUCGAACACGUAGGGUCCGCACGCCUAACGUUCGAUGACGAUCGGUAUUAUGAGUUUAAGUGUUUUGAUGUACCGAAGGUAGUUCGGAGUCCCGGAUGUGAUCAUGGACAUGACGAGGAGUCUUGAAAUAGUCGAGACAUGAAGAUUGAUAUAUUGGAAGGUUAUGUUUGGACACCGGAAUGGUUUCAGAUGAGUUCGGGCAUAUACCGGAGGUACCGGGGGGUUACCGGAACCCCCCGGGGGCUUAAUGGGCCUACAUGGGCUUUAGUGGAAGAGAGAGGAGGCGGCCAAGAGGUGGGGGCGCCCCCCAAGCCCAAUCUGAAUUGGGAGGGGGGGCCUUUCCUUCUUCUCCUCUUCCUCUUCCUUCCCCCUCCUAUUAGGACUAGGAAAGGGGGGAAACCUACUCCUAGUAGGAGUAGGAAUCCCCCCUUGGGGCGCACCAUAAUGGCCGGCCGGCCCCCUCCUCCCCUCCUUUAUAUACGGGGGAGGGGGAACCCCAUAGACACACAAGUUUACAAUUGUUUUAGCCAUGUGCGGUGCUCCCCUCCACAAAUACACACCUCGGUCAUAUCGUCGUAGUGCUUAGGCGAAGCCCUGCACUGGUAACUUCAUCAUCACCGUCAACAUGUCGUCAUGCUUACGAAACUUUCCUCGGCCUCAACUGGAUCAAGAGUACAAGGGACGUCACCGAGUUGAACGUGUGCAGAUCGCGAAGGUGCCGUGCGUUCGGUACUUGAUUGGUUGGAUGGCAAAGACAUUAGACUACAUCAACCGCGUUUCUUAACGCUUCCGCUUUCGGUCUACGAGGGUACUGAUAUGUCUCCAACGUAUCUAUAAUUUUUGAUUGCUCCAUGCUAUAUUAUCUACUGUUUUGGACUAUAUUGGGCUCUAUUUUCCACUUUUAUAUUAUUUUUGGGACUAACCUAUUAACCGGAGGCCCAGCACAGAAUUGAUGUUUUUUGCCUAUUUCAGUGUUUCGAAGAAACAGAAUAUCAAACGGAGUCCAAACAGAAAAAUCCUUUUUGGAACGUGAUUUUCUUCUUGGAUAAGACCCAGGAGACUUGGACCCUACUCCAAGAAGUACCGGAGGCAGUCACGAGGGUAGGGGCGCCCCCCCUACAGGGCGCGCCCCCUGCCUCGUGGGCCCCUCAGUGCUCCACCGACGUACUCCUUCCUCCUAUAUAUACCCACGUACCCCCAAACGAUCAGAACAAGAGCAAAAAAACUAAUUCCACCGCCGCAACUUUCUGUAUCCACGAGAUCCCAUCUUGGGGCCUGUUCCGGAGCUCCGCCGGAGAGGGCCGUCAUCACGGAGGGCUUCUACAUCAUCAUAUCCCCUCCGAUGAAGUGUGAGUAGUUUACCUCAGACCUUCGGGUCCAUAGUUAGUAGCUAGAUGGCUUCUUCUCUCUUUUUGGAUCUCAAUACAAUGUUCUCCCCCGCUCUUGUGGAGAUCUAUUCGAUGUAAUCUUCUUCUUUUGCGGUGUGUUUGUUGAGACCGAUGAAUUGUGGGUUUAUGAUCAAGUCUAUCUAUGAACAAUAUUUGAAUCUUCUCUGAAUUCUUUUAUGUAUGAUUGGUUAUCUUUGCAAGUCUCUUCGAAUUAUCCGUUUGGUUUGGCCAACUAGAUUGGUAGUUCUUGUCAUGGGAGAAGUGCUUAGCUUUGGGUUCGAUCUUGCGAUGUUCUUUCCCAGUGACAGAAGGGGCAGCAAGACACGUAUUGUAUCGUUGCCAUCGAGGAUAACAAGAUGGGGUUUAUUUCAUAUUGCAUGAAUUUAUCUCUCUACAUCAUGUCAUCUUGCUUAAAGUGUUACUCUGUUUUUAACUUAAUAAUCUAGAUGCAUGUUGGAUAGCGGUCGAUGAGUGGAGUAAUAGUAGUAGAUGCAGAAUUGUUUCGAUCUACUUGUCACGAACGUGAUGCCUAUAUACAUGAUCAUGCCUAGAUAUUCUCAUAACUAUGCUCAAUUCUGUCAAUUGCUCAACAGUAAUUUGUUCACCCACCGUAGAAAACUUAUGCUCUCGAGAGAAGCCACUAGUGAAACCUAUGGCCCCCGGGUCUAUUCUCAUCAUAUCAAUCUCCAUCACUUUAAUCUUGUUUUGCUAUUUACUUUGCUUUUACUUUUUACUUUGCAUCUUUAUAUCAAAAAUACCAAAAAUAUUCUAUCUAUCAGAUCUCACUCUCGUAAGUGACCGUGAAGGGCUUGACAACCCCUAAUCGCAUUGGUUGUGGGUAGCUAUCGCUUUGUGCAGGUACGAGGGACUUGAGCGUGGGCUCCUACUGGAUUGAUACCUUGGUUCUCAAAAACUGAGGGAAAUACUUACGCUACUCUGCUGCAUCAUCCCUUCCUCUUCGGGGAAAACCAACGCAAGCUCAAGACGUAGCAAGAAGGAUUUCUGGCACCGUUGCCGGGGAGUCUACGCAAAAAGUCAACAUACCAAGUACCCAUCACAAUCCCUAUCUCUCGCAUUACAUUAUUUGUCAUUUGCCUCUCGUUUUCCUCUCCCCCACUUCACCCUUGCUGUUUUAUUCGCCCUCUCUCUCUCUAUCCUCCCUCUCUUUCUCUAUUUGCCUCUUUUUGCCCGUUUCUUGUUUGCUCGUAUGGUUGGAUUAGUUGUUUAUUUAUUACUAAACAGAGAACCUAAGAUCUAUGGAUCCUCAUCCACUUGCUAAUCUUUUUAAGAGACCCAAUUAUGAUGAGCCAAUUGCUAGUGAGUUUUGUGCACUAGAUUAUUUUUAUGAAGUUUUGCUUGAAAUUCGUGGAUCUGAAAAGUGUGAUGAAUUACUUUAUGAAGCGAUUCACAAUAGAUCUUUGAAUAAAAAGCAUGAUUGCAAUGAUUUUACUAUAAAUUCUCUUGAUGUCAAUUGUGCUAAUAGUAUGCAAAACCCUAAGCUUGGGGAUGCUAGUUUUGCUAUGUCUACUACUUGUUGUAAUGAUCAUGAUUGGGGUGAUUCUUCUUAUGAUAUUGAAAAUUUAUUUAUACCCCAUGAUGAAUAUGAGAUUGAUAAUAGUGUUUGCAAUAUUAUUGAAAGUCGGUUUGUAAAGGUCAUGACUUUAGUUAAUGUGAAUCCCACUAUUUUGGAAGAAUGUCAACUUUGCAUGCAUAUGGAUAGUGUUGAAAAUAUUUUGUGUGAUACCUAUUUUGUUGAAUUUGCUUACGAUCCCUCAUGCAAUUAUUAUGAGAGAGGAAAAAUAUGGUGGUAGAAAUUUUCAUGUUACUAAAUUACCUCGUUAUGUUGAGAUUGCUAUUGUUUCUUUCCGCUUCCUUGCAUAUGCUAGUUUUUGCUUGCGUUGACAAUUUGUUUGCCUAUAAAAUACCUAUGCAUAGGAAGUAUGUUAGACUUAUAUGUGUUUGUCACUUGUUUUAUGAUGUUCUCUUUGUGUUUCAAUUCUUGUCUUUCAUGUGAGCAUCAUUAAAAUUAUCAAUGCCUAGCUUUAAGGAUUUAAAGAAAAGCGCUUGUUGGGAGACAACCCAAUAUUUAUCCUUUCAUGUUAUUCAAUAAAUAAAUUAUUUAUCCUCUGUUUUGGUUGUGUUUUUUGUGUUUAAUUAGUGUUUGUUCCAAGUAGAACCGUUGGGAAGACUUGGGGAAAGUCUUGUUGAACUUGCUGUAAAAAACAGAAACUUUAGCGCUCACCAGAACUGCUGUCAUUUUUAUUUCAAGAGUGCUAUUUAGUUAAUUAUUUUUGAAGAUGAUUAAUAGAUAAAUUACUCACUUACAGAAAUUUAUUUUAGAAUUUUUGGGGUUCCAGAUCUUGCGCUAGCUACAGAUUACUACAGACUGUUCUGUUUUUAACAGAUUCUGUUUUUCGUGUGUUGUUUGCUUAUUUUCAUGAAUCUAUGGUUAGUAAAAUAGUUUAUAAUCCAUAGAGAAGUUGGAAUACAGUAGGUUUAACACCAAUAUAAAUAAAUAAUGAGUUCAUUACAUUACCUUGAAGUGGUCUUUUGUUUUCUUUCGCUAACGGAGCUCACGAGUUUUCUAUUUUGAGUUUUGUGUUGUGAAGUUUUCAAGUUUUGGGUGAAUUCUUUUGAUGGAUUAUGGAACAAGGAGUGGAAAGAGCCUAAGCUUGGGGAUGCCCAUGGCACCCCAAGAUAAUCCAAGGACACCAAAAAGUCAAAGCUUGGGGAUGCCCCGGAAGGCAUCCCCUCUUUCGUCCACUUCCAUCGGUAAUUUACUUGGAGCUAUAUUUUUAUUCACCAACAUGAUAUGUGUUUUGCUUGGAGCGUCUUGUAUUAUUUGUGUCUUUGUUUGUUAGUGUGCCACAAUCAUCCUUGCUGUACACACCUUUUGAGAGAGUCAAAUAUGAAUUAAAAUUUGAUAGAAUACUCUAUGUGCUUCACUUAUAUCUUUUGAGCUAUGUAGUUUUGCUCUACGUGCUUCACUUAUAUCUUUUGAGCAUUAUAAUUUUGCUCUAUGUGCUUCACUUAGAUAUUUUAGAGCACGGUGGUGGUUUGUUUUAAAUAAACUAUUGACCUCUCAUGCUUCACUUAAAUUAUUUUGAGAGUCUUAAUAGCAUGGUAAUUUGCUUAAUAUAAAUAUGCUUGGUGUUCAAGAUAUGUGAAAUUUUCUUUUGAGUGCGUUGAAUACUAAGAGAAGAUUGAAGCAUGAUAAUUGUUUUGAGAUAUGGAGGUGAUAAUAUUAGUGUUAUGCUAGUUUAGUAGUUGUAAAUUUAAAGAAUACUUGUGUUAAAGUUUGUGAUUCCCGUAGCAUGCACGUAUGGUGAACCGUUAUGUGAUGAAGUCGGAGCAUAAUUUAUUUAUUGAUUGUCUUCCUUAUGAGUGGCGGUCGGGGACGAGCGAUGGUCUUUUCCUACCAAUCUAUCCCCCUAGGAGCAUGCAUGUAAUACUUUGCUUUGAUAACUUCUAGAUUUUUGCAAUAAUUAUAUGAGUUCUUUAUGACUAAUGUUGAGUCCAUGGAUUAUAUGCACUUUUUCCCAUCCUUCCACCAUUGCUAGCCUCUCUAAUACCGUGCACCUUUCGCCGGUAUCAUACACCCACCAUAUACCUUCCUCAAAACAGCCACCAUACUUAGCUAUCAUGGCAUUUCCAUAGCCAUUCCGAGAUAUAUUGCCAUGCAACUUUCCACCAUUUCGUUUAUUAUGACACGCUCCAUCAUUGUCAUAUAGCUAGCAUGAUCAUGUAGUUGACAUCGUAUUUGUGGCAAAGCCACCAUUCAUAAUUCUUUCAUACAUGUCACUCUUGAUUCAUUGCAUAUCCCGGUACACCGUCGGAAGCAUUCAUAUAGAGUCAUAUUUGUUCUAAGUAUCGAGUUGUAAUUGUUGAGUUGUAAGAAAAAUAAAAAGUGUGAUGAUCAUCAUUUUCUAGAGCAUUAUCCCAAGUGAGGAAAGGAUGAUGGAGACUAUGAUUCCCCCAUAAGUCGGGAUGAGACUCCGGACGAAAAAAGAGGCCAUAAAAAAAGAGAAGAGGCCCAAAUAAAAAAAUGAGAGAAAAAGAGAGAAGGGACAAUGUUACUAUCCUUUUACCACACUUGUGCUUCAAAGUAGCACCAUGAUAUUCAUGAUAGAGAGUCUCUUGUUAUGUCACUUUCAUAUACUAGUGGUAAUUUUUCAUCACAGAACUUGGCUUGUAUAUUCCAAUGAUGGGCUUCCUCAAAUUGCCCUAGGUCUUCGUGAGCAAGCGAGUUGGAUGCACAUCCACUUAGUUUCUUUUGAUGAGCUUUCAUAUACUUAUAGCUCUAGUGCAUCCGUUGCAUGGCAAUCCCUACUCACUCACAUUGAUAUCUAUUGAUGGGCCUCUCCAUAGCCCGUUGAUACGCCUAGUUGAUGUGAGACUAUCUUCCCCUCUUUUUGUCUUCUCCACAACCACCCUUCUAUUCCACAUAGUGCUAUGUCCAUGGCUCACGCUCAUGUAUUGCGUGAAGAUUGAAAAAGUUUUGAAAAAGUUAGAGUAUGAAACAAUUGCUUGGCUUGUCAUCGGGGUUGUGCAUGAUUUAAAUACUUUGUGUGGUGAAGAUAGAGCAUAGCCAGACUAUAUGAUUUUGUAGGGAUAACUUUCUUUGGCCAUGUUAUUUUGAGAAGACAUAAUUACUUUAUUAGUAUGCUUGAAGUGUUAUUAUUCUUUUAUGUCAAUAUGAACUUUUGUCUUGAAUCUUUCUAAUCUGAAUAUCCAUACCACAAUUAAGAAAUUUUGCAUUGAAAUUAUGCCAAGUAGCACUCCACAUCAAAAAUUCUCUUUUUAUCAUUUACCUACUCGAGGACGAGCAGGAAUUAAGCUUGGGGAUGCCUGAUACGUUUCCAACAUAUCUAUAAUUUUUGAUUGCUCCAUGCUAUAUUAUCUACUGUUUUGGACUAUACUGGGCUCUAUUUUCCACUUUUAUAUUAUUUUUGGGACUAACCUAUUAACCGGAGGCCCAGCCCAGAAUUGAUGUUUUUUGCCUAUUUCAGUGUUUCGAAGAAACAAAAUAUCAAACGGAGUCCAAACAGAAAAAUCCUUUUUGGAACGUGAUUUUCUUCUCGGAUAAGACCCAGGAGACUUGGACCCUACUCCAAGAAGUACCGGAGGUGGUCACGAGGGUAGGGGGCGCGCCCCCCUACAGGGCGCGCCCCCUGCCUCGUGGCUCCCUCGGUGCUCCACCGACGUACUCCUUCCUCCUAUAUAUACCCACGUACUCCCAAACGAUCAGAACAGGAGCAAAAAAACUAAUUCCACCGCCGCAACUUUCUGUAUCCACGAGAUCCCAUCUUGGAGCCUAUUCCGGAGCUCCGCCGGAGAGGGCCGUCAUCACAGAGGGCUUCUACAUCAUCAUAGCCCCUCCGAUGAAGUGUGAGUAGUUUACCUCAGACCUUCGGGUCCAUAGUUAGUAGCUAGAUGGCUUCUUCUCUCUUUUUGGAUCUCAAUACAAUGUUCUCCCCCUCUCUUGUGGAGAUCUAUUCGAUGUAAUCUUCUUCUUUUGCGGUGUGUUUGUUGAGACCGAUGAAUUGUGGGUUUAUGAUCAAGUCUAUCUAUGAACAAUAUUUGAAUCUUCUCUGAAUUCUUUUAUGUAUGAUUGGUUAUCUUUGCAAGUCUCUUCGAAUUAUCCGUUUGGUUUGGCCAACUAGAUUGGUAGUUCUUGCCAUGGGAGAAGUGCUUAGCUUUGGGUUCGAUCUUGCGGUGUUCUUUCCCAGUGACAGAAGGGGCAGCAAGACACGUAUUAUAUCGUUGCCAUCGAGGAUAACAAGAUGGGGUUUAUUUCAUAUUGCAUGAAUUUAUCUCUCUACAUCAUGUCAUCUUGCUUAAAGCGUUACUCUGUUUUUAACUUAAUACUCUAGAUGCAUGCUGGAUAGCGGUCGAUGAGUGGAGUAAUAGUAGUAGAUGCAGAAUCGUUUCGAUCUACUUGUCACGGACGUGAUGCCUAUAUACAUGAUCAUGCCUAGAUAUUCUCAUAACUAUGCUCAAUUCUGUCAAUUGCUCAACAGUAAUUUGUUCACCCACCGUAGAAAACUUAUGCUCUCGAGAGAAGCCACUAGUGAAACCUAUGGCCCCCGGGUCUAUUCUCAUCAUAUCAAUCUCCAUCACUUUAAUCUUGUUUUGCUAUUUACUUUGCUUUUACUUUUUACUUUGCAUCUUUAUAUCAAAAAUACCAAAAAUAUUCUAUCUAUCAGAUCUCACUCUUGUAAGUGACCGUGAAGGGCUUGACAACCCCUAAUCGCGUUGGUUGCGGGUAGCUAUCGCUUUGUGCAGGUACCAGGGACUUGAGCGUGGGCUCCUACUGGAUUGAUACCUUGGUUCUCAAAAACUGAGGGAAAUACUUACGCUACUCUGCUGCAUCAUCCCUUCCUCUUUGGGGAAAACCAACGCAAGCUCAAGACGUAGCAUGUAUGUUUUCAUACUCUCCCCUCUCGUUGCUAUGCAUCCCUAGAUAGAUCUUGCAUGAUCGUAGGAUUUUUUUUUGAAAUACUACAUUCCCCAACAGUGGCAUCCGAGCUAGGUCUAUGCGUAGAUGUUAUAUGCAUGAGUAGAACACAAAUGAGUUGUGGGCGUGGGUAUAUACAUAUUGCUUGCCGUCACUAGUUGUUUCUUGAUUCGACGGUAUUGUUGGAUGAAGCGGCCCGGACCGACAUUACAUGAUUGCGUUCAUGAGACUGGUUCUACCGACGUGCUUUGCACACAGGUGGUUGGUGGGUGUCAGUUUCUCCAACUUUAGUUGAAUCGGAUUCAAUGAAUAGGGUUCUUACUGAAGAUCAAAAAGCAAUCACUAUACCGCGUUAUGGUUUUUGAUGCGUACGUAAGAACGGUUCUUGCUAAGCCCGUAGCAGCCAUGUAAAACUUGCAACAACAAAGUAGAGGACGUCUAACUUGUUUUUGCAGGGCAUGUUGUGAUGUGAUAUGGUCAAGAUGCGAUUAUAUAAAUUAUUGUAUGAGAUGAUCAUGUUGUGUAACACUGUUAUCGGCAACUGGUAGGAGCCAUAUGGUUUUCACUUUAUUGUAUGAAAUGCAAUCGCCAUGUAAUUGCUUUACUUUAUCACUAAGCGGUAGCGAUAGUCGUAGAAGCAAUAGUUGGCAAGACGACAACGAUGCUACGAUGGAGAUCAAGUUGUCAAGCUGGUAACGAUGGUGAUCAUAACGGUGCUUGGGAGAUGGAGAUCAAAGGCACAAGAUGAUGAUGGCCAUAUCAUAUCAGUUAUAUUGAUUGCAUGUGAUGUUUAUCCUUUAUGCAUCUUAUUUUGCUUAAUACAGCAGUAGCAUUAUAAGAUGAUCUCUCACUAAAUUUCAAGGUAUAAGGUUGUAACACCCCGGAUAUGAUUUGCCUAAUAUGUUAUCCAACUCUUGCCGUUUCCGGCGUUAAGUUAUUUUAUUUUCUCGGGUUCGGGUUUUUGUCUCCGUGUGUUGUUGUCGUUGUCAUGCAUCUCAUAUCAUAUCAUCAUGUGCAUUGCAUUUGCAUACGUGUCCAUCUCAUGCAUUCGAGCAUUUUCCCCGUUGUCCGUUUUGCAUUACGGCGCUUCGUUCUCCUCUGGUGGUCAUUUCUACCUUUCUUUCGUGUGUGGGGAUUAAACAUUUCCGGAUUGGACCGAGACUUGCCAAGCGGCCUUGGUUUAAUACCGGUAGACCGCCUGUCAAGUUUCGUACCAUUUGGACUUCGUUUGAUGCUCCAACGGUUAACCGAGGGACCGAAAAGGCCUCGUGUGUGUUGCAGCCCAACACCCCUCCAUUUUGGCCCAAAACCCACCAAAACUCUCUCCAUCAUCUAGAGCGUUCGAUCACAAUCGUGUGGCCGAAAACCGCACCGCAUUUGGACACUCCUAGCUCCCUCUAUGUCUAUAUAUAGACCCCUCCAAAAAAUCCGCGGUUCCACUCUCCCCCAAACCCUAGCCCCGCUCCAUCCGCGCGCCGGACAAAUCCCGCCACCGCGCCCGCGCCAAUCGGCGCGUGACACGUGGCACGCCCNNNNNNNNNNNNNNNNNNNNNNNNNNNNNNNNNNNNNNNNNNNNNNNNNNNNNNNNNNNNNNNNNNNNNNNNNNNNNNNNNNNNNNNNNNNNNNNNNNNNNNNNNNNNNNNNNNNNNNNNNNNNNNNNNNNNNNNNNNNNNNNNNNNNNNNNNNNNNNNNNNNNNNNNNNNNNNNNNNNNNNNNNNNNNNNNNNNNNNNNNNNNNNNNNNNNNNNNNNNNNNNNNNNNNNNNNNNNNNNNNNNNNNNNNNNNNNNNNNNNNNNNNNNNNNNNNNNNNNNNNNNNNNNNNNNNNNNNNNNNNNNNNNNNNNNNNNNNNNNNNNNNNNNNNNNNNNNNNNNNNNNNNNNNNNNNNNNNNNNNNNNNNNNNAGUCCUGGCCGGCCGCCGCCUCCUCCCGGCGCGCGCGCCUCGCCUCCGGCCAGAUCCGGCCGCGGGAGGGCCGGAUCCGGCGACCCCGACCUCGCCGGCCGUCGUCGUCGUCAUCUCCGGCGAGAUCCUCCACCGCCUCGUUUUGCGUGCCCGGGUCAACCCUAAUCCGCGAGGUGGAAUUUUCUUCUAAGUCCCCGAUUCCCAGAUCCAUAUGCCCAUGUUCAUCGCAUCGUAACUCCGCAUCCGUAGCUCCAUUUUGGGCAUAUAGCAUAUCAAAAUGUUCGCCUCAGAGAGAACAUCAUUUCAUCUCAUUGCAUCAUUUUCAUUUGAGUUCGUCUUGAUACCCGAAAUGCUGUUGGAAGAGUGCUAUUUGAGAUAAUUGUCAGAUGUGCUGCUCCAAUUAGACAUUUGUCAUUUUUGCCAUGAUUAUUGUGUGCAUGAUAUGCCCCUGAGCUCUACAUGAGUUUUGUUAUAUGCUUUACCAUCUAUCCAGAGGUGCAACCCAUGUAUUUUUGUGAUGUGUGUGGUGACUAGCACAAGCUUGCAAAGUGGAGCAUUCGUUAAUGCUGAUUUCAGGGACUUAGCAUUUCCACUAAGUCCUUGAUCUGUUUAUCUCCAUAUGCCAUAUGUUCAUGUUGUUUCCUAGUGAUCCGUGCCUCUUUUGAGGAUGAUCAGUAAGGAUGUUUUGUUAAUCUUGUAGUGCUAUAUCCAUCCAUGUCUUUGUUUGCAAUUAUGGAGCACCCUAGCUUGAGUCAAUCGAGCUCUACUUUUGUCAUUUCGUGAAUCUGGGCAGAUUGUCUACUUGUUAGCAAUUUUGCCGAGGAUGUUGUAGUUGAUCCGUGCAUGCUAUGUUAUUGUUCUUGCCAUGUCUAGCUUAUAUUAUGUGUUUUCUUGAUGGGUGUAUGCUUAGAUUGUCGUGACUUGCUCUGUAGUGAGUGCAUCAAGCUCGUAAACAUGUCUACUUGAUAUCUGUUUCAGCAUGCUCCAGUUUUCACCAAGUCUGAGAACUGAUUAUGUUUUUGCCAUGUUCACAUGCUUGCAAAUGUAUUUUCUGAUCCCUUUGGGCUCAAGGUCACUAAGGGACUUUUGUUAAGCUCUUUGAGUAGCUCCAUGACAUGCUUUACUUUGCCAUGUUCAGGUCCUGUAGCAUAUAGUUUUCAUGCUCCAAAGUGUGCUACCUGAUCUAAAAUUCCAAACAAGUGUUGAUUUCACUAAGUCUGAAAUCUGUUUACCAAAUGCAUUUUUGCCAUGCUUGUUUGAACCUGUUAAUGGAUGAAUUGGCCAUAGCUCAGUGCUAGUCUUUUGUUAAGCAUCAUGGAUGGAUCCCUGCCAUGUAUUUUGAUGCCAUGUUUGGGUGCUAUAGCAUGUUCAUCUUGUUGCAUGUUCAUCUUGUUGCAUUUAGAUGGCUACUUGUAGCGUGGUUGAUUGUGUCCUUGUUGCUUGUUUGUCUUGUUUGUGUAGAGCCGGGAGACGAGUUCGCUAACGAGGAGCCCGUUGAGUUUGCUUUCGAGGAUCCAGUCAACUCUGACAACUUUGCAGGCAAGAUGAUCAUACCCUCGAAAUCACUAAUAUCUUUGCUUUGCUAGAUGCUCGCUCUUUUGCUAUGCCUAUGCUACGAUGCCUACCACUUGCUUAUCAUGCCUCCCAAAUUGCCAUGUCAAACCUCUAACCCACCAUGUCCUAGCAAACCGUUGACUGGCUAUGUUACCGCUUUGCUCAGCCCCUCCUAUAGCGUUGCUAGUUGCAGGUGAAGAUUGGAGACCGUUCCUUGUUGGGACAUUAUUUACUUGUUGGGAUAUCAUUAUAUUGCCUUGUUAUCUUAACCCAUCUAUAUACUGGUAAAGGGUGGAAGGCUCGGCCUCUCGCCUAGUGUUUUGUUCCACUCUUGCCGCCCUAGUUUCCGUCAUAUCGGUGUUAUGUUCCCGGAUUUUGCGUUCCUUACGCGGUUGGGUGAUAAUGGGAACCCCUUGAUAGUUCGCCUUGAUUAAAGCUUUUCCAGCAAUGCUCAACCUUGGUUUUACCAUUUGCCACCUAGCCUCUUUUUCCCUUGGGUUUCCGGAGCCCGAGGGUCAUCUUAUUUAACCCCCCCCCCCGGGUCAGUGCUCCUAUGAGUGUUGGUCCGAACCAGGCAGCCUGCGGGGCCACCUCGGGGAAACUCGAGGGCUGGUUUUACUCGUAGCUUGACCUAUCUGAGUGUGACCUGUGAACGAGAUAUGUGCAGCUCUAAUCGGGAUUUGUCGGCACAUUCGGGCGGUGUUGCUGGAUUUGUUUUAACUUGUCAAAGUGUCUUGUAGAACCGGGAUACCGAGUCUGAUCGGAAUGUCUCGGGAGAAGGUCUAUUCCUUCGUUGACCGUGAGAGCUUGUCAUGGGAUAAGUUGGGACUCCCCUGCAGGGAUUUGAACUUUUGAAAGCCGUGCCCGCGGUUACGGGCAGAUGGGAAUUUGUUAAUGUCCGGUUGUAGACAACUUGAACCUUAACUUAAUUAAAAUGAAUCAACAGUGUGAGUUACCGUGAUGGUCUCUUCUCGGCGGAGUCCGGGAAGUGAACACGGUGUUGGAGUAAUGCUUGCCACAGGUUGCUCUCUAGUUAUUCGUUCGCGCUUUGCCUUCUCUUCUCGCUCUCUUUUGCGAACAGGUUAGGCACCAUAUAUGCUAGUCGCUUGCUGCAGCUCCACAUAUUUUACCUUGCCCUUACCUAUAAGCUUAAAUAGUCUUGAUCGCGAGGGUGCGAGAUUGCUGAGUCCCUGUGGCUCACAGAUUACUUCCAAACCAGAUGCAGGGCCUGAUGAUUCCGUUCCAGAUGACGUGCUUGAGCUCAAGUGGGAGUUCGACGAGGACUCACGCCGAUAUUAUGUGUCUUUCCCUGAUGAUCAGUAGUGGUGCCCAGUUGGGGUGAUCGGGACCGUGUCGCAUGUUGGGUUUAUCUUUUAUUUUGGCGCCGUAGUCGGGCCAUGAGUGUUUGAUUGAUUUAAUGCUAUUUAUGUACUUUGAUUGGCGUGGCGAGUGUAAGCCAACUAUGUAUCUCCCCUUUAUUAUCUAUAUUACAUGGGUUGUUGUGAAGAUUGCCUAACUUGCGACAUUGCUUUCAAUGCAGUUAUGCCUCUAAGUCGUGCCUCGACAUGUGGGAGCUAUAGCCGCAUCGAGGGCGUUACAAGUUGGUAUCAGAGCCUUCCCCGACCUUAGGAGCCCCCAUUGCUUGAUCGUUUUUAGCGGCCGAGUUGAGUCUAGAAAAAAAUAUUUUGAGUCAUUUAGGAAUUAUAUAUUGGAGAGUUUAGGAAUUCUUUUUACUCCCCAUUCUCCUCAUCGCUCUGGUAAGGCAUCCUGACGUAGAGUUUUGACUAUUCUCUUCUCAAAUUUCACUAAAAAAAUUUAGGAUCACGCGGGUAUCUUGGAAUCGUUUCGAUGGUUUUGUGACAAGAACAUUGUUCUUGGUGCCUCCUGUCUUUAGGGGUUGUGGCAGUGUCCCAGAGAGUUGAGCUCUGAGGUGUUGUCGUCACAAUUUUAUCGUUGCAGUUCUGGAAUACCUGAUUUUAGUAUGCUGACAUCGAAAAUCUCUUUUAUGCAGUUCGUUGGUGAGAUAACCUCGACGCCACCCAGUACUGGGGCGGGAGUUCGGGAGUAUCACCAUAACUUGUAUAACGGAUGCUUUUCGAAGGUUGAGGUAGAUGGUUUCCGAAGUUUUUCUCGGUUAUGUGUUGAAGGAUGGAUAUAGCUGGAUGUAGGAUUUGCUAGAUUUGGGUGAGAUAUUAUGCUUCCCCUGUAUCCCCAACACCUGAUUGCAUAACCGGAAAGGUUCGGGAGUUUCAUAGGUGGGAAUUCUUGUAGCUCUAGUUCUUCUUCCACGGAUAUUGGUUUGAGAUUGGGAUUUCUUACCGAGUAUUUGUUCUUGAUCCGUACCUUGUUAAUUUAUUUCUCUACCUAAAUUCUAAGUGGCUUAUCAAUUUAUGGAUAUGUGACCAUUUCAAGUGGAAUGCAUUCGUUCUUAUGUUCGGAUGUGAAGACUAUAUGUUGCAAUUUCAACCCGUUUGAUUCAGCUUCAUUUUAUCUAUCAAUGUGCUAACGGUUGUCACCCUCUUCAGGAUGGCUCCCGCUAAGAGCACCAACCAGAAUCAGAAUCAGGAUCCGCCACCACCUCCUCCUCCUCCAGAGGCAUGGCAAGCUGUGAUGGCCGCAAUCAAUGCAAACACACAGUUGAUCAUGCAAAUUCUUCAAGAGCGCAAUCAAGCGAACCAAGGCAACCAAGGCAACAAUCAGAAUCACUUUGCUACACUCAACCAGUUCCUUGCUAACGGGCCAAAGACUUUCAGCAAUUGUGUUGAGGCAACUGAUGCUGACGAUUGGCUCAUGGAUCUGUGCAAGCAUUUCGAGUGCAGUAACGUCAGGCCUGAGGACUUUGUCAAGUUCGCUUCCUUCCAACUCAAAGACCAAGCUGCAGAAUGGUUCCUGCAGUACAAGGAUUCCAGAGGAGGCCGUGUGAUUACCUAGAAUGAAUUCCGUCAAGACUUCAAAGCUCAUCAUAUUCCUCAGAGCGUGGUUGAAAGCAAGCAUGAGGAAUUCCACAACCUGAAGCAAGGCUCUUUGUCUGUCUAUGACUACAACAAGUCGUUUCAGAAGCUCGCCCGCUUUGCUAAGCAGGACGUCCCCGACGACAAGAGCAUGAUAUACCAAUUCAGGGGUGGUCUCAGAGAAGAAAUUCAGCUAGCUCUUGUUCUCUUUGAGCCCUUGAGAUACGAUGAGUUCUACAACAUGGCAUUGAAGCAAGAGGCCGCUCAACUAAGGUGUGAUGCUUCCAAGAAGCGAGUCAGAGAUGCUACUCCUUCUUCCUCUACUCAAGUGGCCAAGCAGCAGAAGUUUUGGCUUCCUCCUCCUCCAUUCCGUCAGCCGUACCAACAAAAGAGCAAACGUGGAAGUGGAUGUUCCCACCCACCCAACCCUGGCUUUCAGAACAAGACUUCGUCUCAAGCUCCAAGAUCGAGUGCUCCGUAUCACCGUCCGCUUUCAAAGGUCACGUGCAACAAGUGCCAACAGAAGGGUCACUAUGCCAACAAAUGCUUCAAUCAGAGGCGUCUUCCUCCUCCUCCUCCUGUGAGAUCGGCAAGUACAGCUGUGGUCAAGCAUAACCCCAAGCACGCCAAGGUCAACUUGAUGAAUGCAGCUCAGGCAGAGGACUCGUCAGAUGUCAUCAUGGGUAACCUUCCUGUUAACGAUAUUCUUGCAAGAGUUCUUUUUGACACUGGUGCAUCGCAUUGUUUCAUGUCAAAGCCAUUUUUUACCAAGCAUGAAUUCGUUUCUUCUCAUUUGGGUAAACAAAUGGAUAUCGUUUCUCCUGGCAAACGUUUGAGUGCAAGUCUGGAGGUGCCAGAUGUUACUAUCACCUUGGGCGACUACAAGUUCCUUUCUUCCCUAAUGGUUCUUGGUGACUCGGACAUUGAUCUUAUUCUCGGAAUGGAUUGGCUUUCUAAGCACAAGGCUCAGCUUGAUUGUGCAGCCAGACAGAUUCAAUUGACUCAUUCGUCUGAGGAUGUAAUUGUCUUUGCCGCUCGUGAUGAUACCAUCCGUCUGUUCUCUCUCAAUGAGAAGGGUGAACUGGAUGCUAUCUCGCAAAUUCCAGUCGUUUGCGAAUAUCAAAACGUCUUUCCAGAAGAGCUUCCAGGAAUGCCUCCACACCGGCCAGUUGAAUUCGUCAUCGAUCUUGAGCCUGGCACGGAACCUGUGUGCAAGCGUCCUUACAAGCUCGGACCUGAAGAGUUCAAGGAGCUGAAGAAGCAACUCGAUGUUCAAGAGAGAAUGGGCCUCAUCCGACCUAGUUCUUCUCCGUGGGGUUGUGGUGUUCUUUUUGUGAAGAAGAAGGAUGGAACGGACCGACUUUGUGUUGAUUACCGUCCAUUGAACAAGAAGACCAUCAAGAACAAAUACCCACUUCCCAACAUAAACGAGCUGUUCGAACAACUCAAAGGUGCCCAAGUAUUCUCCAAGCUUGAUCUCCGUAUGGGUUAUCAUCAGAUUCGAAUCCGCGAGCAAGAUAUUCCCAAGACGGCUUUCAGGACAAGCUUUGGUUCAUAUGAAUACACUGUCAUGUCUUUUGGCCUCGUCAACACUCCUCCGACUUUCUCUCGCAUGAUGAACUUCAUCUUCAAUGCCUACACCAAUGACUUUGUUUUGGUCUAUCUCGACGACAUUCUGGUCUUUUCGAAGAACAAGGAAGAUCAUGCCAAGCACUUGCGUGUGGUACUCGAUAAGCUCAGGGAACACAAGUUCUACGCCAAGUUCUCCAAGUGCGAAUUUUGGUUCGAUGAGGUUCUUUAUCUUGGUCAUAUCAUCUCUGCCAAGGGCAUUGCGGUGAAUCCAGAGAAGGUGUCUGCAAUUGUGAAUUGGGAACCACCUCAGAACGUGAAGCAACUCCAUAGCUUCCUCGGUCUCACAAGCUACUGUCGAAGAUUCGUUGAAAACUUUUCUAAGAUCGCGAAGCCUCUCUCAAAUCUUCUCCAGAAGCACGUCAAGUACGUUUGGUCUCCGGAGUGUGACAUUGCUUUCAACACUUUGAAAGAGAAAUUGGUCACUGCUCCAGUUUUGACUCCGCCUGAUGAAUCCAAGCCGUACGAGGUCUUUUGCGAUGCCUCUCUCCAAGGUCUUGGCGCAGUGUUGAUGCAAGAGAAGAAAGUUGUGGCUUAUACCUCUCGCCAGUUGAAGCCCAACGAGAAGAACUACCCCACUCAUGACCUUGAGUUGGCGGCAGUUGUGCAUGCUCUUUUGACUUGGAGACAUCUUUUAUUGGGAAGAAAAGUGGACAUUUUCACUGAUCACAAGAGUCUCAAGUACAUCUUCACUUAGCCUAAUCUCAACCUCAGGCAAACUCGAUGGGUCGAAAUGAUUCAAGAGUAUAAUCCAAGUAUCGAGUAUACUCCAGGCAAGGCCAAUGUGAUUGCUGACGCAUUGAGCAGGAAGGCUUAUUGCAACAGCCUGAUUCUCAAGCCUUAUCAACCCGAGCUUUGUGAAGCUUUCCGCAAACUUAAUCUGAAAGUUGUUCCUCAAGGUUUCCUCGCCAACCUUCAAGUCUCUCCUACCUUGGAAGACCAGAUUCACCAAGCCCAGCUUCUUGAUGCUAUGGUGAAAAAGGUGAAGAUUGGGAUUGCCAAGAGUCAACCCAAGUACAAGUGCUACCGCCUUGAUGACAAGGAUACUCUCUUCUUCGAGGAUCGUAUUGUUGUGCCCAAAGGUGACCUUCAUAAAGUGAUCAUGGAUGAGGCUCACAAUUCUCUCCUCCCAUCCACCCUGGGAGCACGAAGAUGUAUGAGGACCUCAAGCAGGCUUAUUGGUGGACUCGAAUGAAGCGCGAGAUUGCUUAGUUCGUGAAUGAAUGUGAUGUCUGCAGAAGAGUGAAGGCAGAACACCAAAGGCCAGCUGGUCUCCUCCAACCUCUUGCCAUUCCAGAAUGGAAGUUUGACCACAUUGAGAUGGACUUCAUGACUGGGUUUCCAAAGUCCAAGCGUGGCAAUGAUGCUAUAUUCGUUGUCAUCGACAAACUCACUAAAGUGGCUCACUUUCUGCCUAUCAAAGAGUCAAUCACUGCAGCUCAAUUGGCGAAGCUCUAUACCUCUCGAAUUGUCUCUCUGCAUGGUAUUCCACAAGUGAUCUCUUCAGACCGUGGCAACAUCUUUACCUCCAAGUUUUGGGAUUCUUUUCAGAAGGCCAUGGGCACCAACAUCCGCUUCAGCACAGCUUUCCAUCCUCAAACUAGCGGUCAAGUCGAGCGUGUCAACCAGAUUCUUGAAGAUAUGCUCAAGGCUUGUGUGAUCUCCUUUGGCAUGAAGUGGGAGGAUUGUCUUCCAUAUGCUGAAUUCUCCUACAACAACAGUUUUCAAGCAAGUUCGAGCAAGGCCCCAUUUGAAAUUCUGUAUGGUAGGAAGUGCCGUACCCCUCUCAACUGGUCCGAAACCGGUGAACAUCAGCUUUUGGGUAAUGACUUAAUCACAGAGGCAGAGGAAAUGUGCAAAGUCAUUCGAGAUAACCUCAAAGCAGCCCAAUCCCGCCAGAAGAGCUACUAUGAUAGUAAGCACCAUGAUUUGGCUUUCGAGAUCGGAGAUCAUGUUUACCUCCGCGUCUCUCCAAUGAAAGGUACUCGUUGCUUCAGUAUCAAAGGGAAGCUUGCCCCCAGAUACGUGGGACCUUUCAAGAUCGCUAGCAAGAGAGGCGAUCUCGCCUAUCAACUCGAGCUUCCUUCAAACUUUGCAAAUGUUCAUGACGUGUUCCAUGUCUCUCAGCUCCGAAAGUGCUUCAAGACUCCUGACCGCACCGUCAACUUUGAGGACAUCGAACUCCAAGAAGAUCUCUCUUAUCGUGAGCACCCCGUUGCUAUUCUUGAAGAGACUGAACGCAAGACUCGCAACAAGUCAAUCAAAUUCCUCAAAGUCAAGUGGUCACACCAUUCCGACCAUGAAGCUACCUGGGAACGCGAGGAUCACCUCCGUUCUGAAUACCCAGUGUUCUUUCAGUCCUAGAUCUCGGGACGAGAUCCUUUCGUAGUGGUGGAGUGUUGUAACACCCCGGAUAUGAUUUGCCUAAUAUGUAAUCCAACUCUUGCCGUUUCCGGCGUUAAGUUAUUUUAUUUUCUCGGGUUCGGGUUUUUGUCUCCGUGUGUUGUUGUCGUUGUCAUGCAUCUCAUAUCAUGUUAUCAUGUGCAUUGCAUUUGCAUACGUGUUCCUCUCAUGCAUUCGAGCAUUUUCUCCGUUGUCUGUUUUGCAUUCCGGCGCUUCGUUCUCCUCCGGUGGUCAUUUCUACCUUUCUUUCAUGUGUGGGGAUUAAACAUUUCUAGAUUGGACUGAGACUUGCCAAGCGGCCUUGGUUUACUACCGGUAGACCGCCUGUCAAGUUUCGUACCAUUUGGACUUCGUUCGAUGCUCCAACGGUUAACCGAAGGACCGAAAAGGCCUCGUGUGUGUUGCAGCCCAACACCCCUCCAUUUUGGCCCAAAACCCACCAAAACCCUCUCCAUCAUCUAGAGCGUUCGAUCACGAUCGCGUGGCCGAAAACCGCACCUCAUUUGGACACUCCUAGCUCCCUCUAUGUCUAUAUAUAGACCCCUCCUAAAAAUUCGCGGUUCCACUCUCCCCCAAACCGUAGCCCCGCUCCAUCCGCGCGCCGGACACGUCCGGUCAGCGCCGGACAAAUCCUGCCGCCGCGCCCGCGCCAAUCGGCGCGUGACACGUGGCACGCCCCCGCCGCCGCCGCUCCGGNNNNNNNNNNNNNNNNNNNNNNNNNNNNNNNNNNNNNNNNNNNNNNNNNNNNNNNNNNNNNNNNNNNNNNNNNNNNNNNNNNNNNNNNNNNNNNNNNNNNNNNNNNNNNNNNNNNNNNNNNNNNNNNNNNNNNNNNNNNNNNNNNNNNNNNNNNNNNNNNNNNNNNNNNNNNNNNNNNNNNNNNNNNNNNNNNNNNNNNNNNNNNNNNNNNNNNNNNNNNNNNNNNNNNNNNNNNNNNNNNNNNNNNNNNNNNNNNNNNNNNNNNNNNNNNNNNNNNNNNNNNNNNNNNNNNNNNNNNNNNNNNNNNNNNNNNNNNNNNNNNNNNNNNNNNNNNNNNNNNNNNNNNNNNNNNNNNNNNNNNNNNNNNNNNNNNNNNNNNNNNNNNNNNNNNNNNNNNNGACCUCGCCGGCCUGCUCCGCCGCCCGCCGCCACAGUCCUCGCCGGCCGCCGCCUCCUCCCGGCGCCCGCGACUCACCUCCGGCCAGAUCCGGCCGCGGGAGGGCCGAAUCCGGCGACCCCGACCUCGCCGGCCGCCGUCGUCGUCAUCUCCGACGAGAUCCGCCACCGCCUCAUUUUGCGUGCCCGGGUCAACCCUAAUCCGCAAGGUGGAAUUUUCUUCUAAGUCCCUGAUUUCCAGAUCCAUAUGCCCAUGUUCAUUGCAUCGUAACUCCGCAUCCGUAGCUUCGUUUUGGGCAUAUAGCAUAUAAAAAUGUUCGUCUCAGAGAGCACAUCAUUUCAUCUCAUUGCAUCAUUUUCAUUUGAGUUCGUCUUGAUGCCCGAAAUACUGUUGGAAGAGUGCUAUUUGAGAUAAUUGUCAGAUGUGCUGCUCCAAUUAGACAUUUGUCAUUUUUGCCAUGAUUAUUGUGUGCAUGAUAUGCCCCUGAGCUCUACAUGAGUUUUGUUAUAUGCUUUACCAUCUAUCCAGAGGUGCAACCCAUGUAUUUUUGUGAUGUGUGUGGUGACUAGCACAAGCUUGCAAAGUGGAGCAUUCGUAAAUGCUGAUUUCAGGGACUUAGCAUUUCCACUAAGUCCUUGAUCUGUUUAUCUCAAUAUGCCAUAUGUUCAUGUUGUUUCCUAGUGAUCCGUGCCUCUUUUGAGGAUGAUCAGUAAGGAUGUUUUGUUAAUCUUGUAGUGCUAUAUCCAUCCAUGUCUCUGUUUGCAAUUAUGGAGCACCCUAGUUUGAGUCAAUCGAGCUCUACUUUUGUCAUUUCAUGAAUCUGGGCAGAUUGUCUACUUGUUAGCAAUUUUGCCGAGGAUGUUGUAGUUGAUCCGUGCAUGCUAUGUUAUUGUUCUUGCCAUGUCUAGCUUGUAUUAUGUGUUUUCUUGAUGGGUGUAUGCUUAGAUUGUCAUGACUUGCUCUGUAGUGAGUGCAUCGAGCUCGUAAACAUGUCUACUUGAUAUCUGUUUCAGCAUGCUCCAGUUUUCACUAAGUCUGAGAACUGAUUAUGUUUUUGCCAUGUUCACAUGCUUGCAAAUGUAUUUUCUGAUCCCUUUUGUCUCAAGGUCACUAAGGGACUUUUGUUAAGCUCUUUGAGUAGCUCCAUGACAUGCUUUACUUUGCCAUGUUCAGGUCCUGUAGCAUAUAGUUUUCAUGCUCCAAAGUGAGCUACCUGAUCUAAAAUUUCAGACAAGUGUUGAUUUCACUAAGUCUGAAAUUUGUUUACCAAAUGCAUUUUUGCCAUGCUUGUUUGAACCUGUUAAUGGAUGAAUUGGCCAUAGCUCAGUUCUAGUCUUUUGUUAAGCAUCAUGGAUGGAUCCCUUCCAUGCAUUUUGAUGCCAUGUUUGGGUGUUGUAGCAUGUUCAUCUUGUUGCAUUUAGAUGGCUACUUGCUGUAAAUCGCAGAACGUGGUCAUAUUUGAAUUGUUUGCCAUUUUCAAACCGUAACUCUGAUUCCGGCGUUCUUUAUAUCGUUUUCAAGCGGUUUGACCUCACCUUUCCAGUGGCACACUUGGAUUUCCAAGUUGAGGCCAGGUUCAUGCUUUCUUUGUAAAAUCUUGCAUGUGCAUCCCAUAUCGCAUCCCGCAUAGCAUACUAUCUUUGCGUCAUUUUGUUUGAGCCUUGCGCGUGGUUGAUUGUGUCCUUGUUACUUAUUUGUCUUGUUUGGGUAGAGCCGGGAGACGAGUUCGCUAACGAGGAGCCCGUUGAGUUUGCUUUCGAGGAUCCAGUCAACUCUGACAACUUUGCAGGCAAGAUGAUCAUACCCUCGAAAUCACUACUAUCUUUGCUUUGCUAGAUGCUCGCUCUUUUGCUAUGCCUAUGCUACGAUGCCUACCACUUGCUUAUCAUGCCUCCCAAAUUGCCAUGUCAAACCUCUAACCCACCAUGUCCUAGCAAACCGUUGACUGGCUAUGUUACCGCUUUUCUCAGCCCCUCCUAUAGCGUUGCUAGUUGCAGGUGAAGAUUGGAGACCGUUCCUUGUUGGGACAUUACUUACUCGUUGGGAUAUCAUUAUAUUGCCUUGUUAUCUUAACGCAUCUAUAUAAUUGGUAAAGGGUGGAAGGUUCGGCCUCUCGCCUAGUGUUUUGUUCCACUCUUGUCGCCCUAGUUUCCGUCAUAUCGGUGUUAUGUUCCCAGAUUUUGCGUUCCUUACGCGGUUGGGUGAUAAUGGGAACCCCUUGAUAGUUCGCCUUGAUUAAAGCUUUUCCAGCAAUGCUCAACCUUGGUUUUACCAUUUGCCACCUAGCCUCUUUUUCCCUUGGGUUUCCGGAGCCCGAGGGUCAUCUUAUUUAAACCCCCCCCCCCGGGCCCAUGCUCCUCUGAGUGUUGGUCCGAACCAGGCAGCCUGCGGGGCCACCUCGGGGAAACUCGAGGGCUGGUUUUACUCGUAGCUUGACCUAUCUGAGUGUGCCCUGAGAACGAGAUAUGUGCAGCUCCUAUUGGGAUUUGUCGGCACAUUCGGGCGGUGUUGCUGGAUUUGUUUUAACUUGUCAAAGUGUCUUGUAGAACCGGGAUACCGAGUCUGAUCGGAAUGUCUCGGGAGAAGGUCUAUUCCUUCGUUGACCGUGAGAGCUUGUCAUGGGCUAAGUUGGGACUCCCCUGUAGGGAUUUGAACUUUUGAAAGCCGUGCCCGCGGUUAUGGGCAGAUGAGAAUUUGUUAAUGUCCGGUUGUAGACAACUUGAACCUUAACUUAAUUAAAAUGAAUCAACAGUGUGAGUUACCGUGAUGGUCUCUUCUCGGCGGAGUCCGGGAAGUGAAAACGGUGUUGGAGUAAUGCUUGCCGCAGGUUGCUCUCUAGUUAUUCGUUCGCGCUUUGCCUUCUCUUCUCACUCUCUUUUGCCAAUAGGUUAGCCACCAUAUAUGCUAGUCGCUUGCUGCAGCUCCACAUAUUUUACCUUGCCCUUUCCUAUAAGCUUAAAUAGUCUUGAUCGCGAGGGUGCGAGAUUGCUGAGUCCCUGUGGCUCACAGAUUACUUCCAAACCAGAUGCAGGGCCUGAUGAUUCCGUUCCAGAUGACGCGCUUGAGCUCAAGUGGGAGUUCGACGAGGACUCACGCCGAUAUUAUGUGUCUUUCCCUGAUGAUCAGUAGUGGUGCCCAGUUGGGGUGAUCGGGACCGUGUCGCAUGUUGGGUUUAUCUUUUAUUUUGGCGCCGUAGUCGGGCCAUGAGUGUUUGAUGGAUGUAAUGCUAUUUAUGUACUUUGAUUGGCGUGGCGAGUGUAAGCCAACUAUGUAUCUCCCCUUUAUUAUCUAUAUUACAUGGGAUGUUGUGAAGAUUGCCUAACUUGCGACAUUGCUUUCAAUGCGGUUAUGCCUCUAAGUCAUGCCUCGACACAUGGGAACUAUAGCCGCAUCAAGGGCGUUACAAAGGUUCUCCCUGAGUAUGCACCAUUGCUAUAGUUCGUCAUGCCGAGACACCACAUGAUGAUCGGGUGUAAUAAGCUCUACAUUCACAUACAACGGGUGCAAGCUAGUUUUGCACAAGCAGAAUACUCGGGUUAAACUUGACGAGCCUAGCAUAUGUAGAUAUGGCCUCGGAACACUGAGACCGAAAGGUCGAGCGUGAAUCAUAUAGUAGAUACGAUCAACAUAGUGAUGUUCACCAUUGAAAACUACUCCAUCUCACGUGAUGAUCGGACAUGGUUUAGUUGAUAUGGAUCACAUGAUCACUUAGAUGAUUAGAGGGAUGUCUAUCUAAGUGGGAGUUCUUAAGUAAUAUGAUUAAUUGAACUUUAAUUUAUCAUGAACUUAGUACCUGAUAUUAUUUUUGCAUGUCUAUGUUGUUGUAGAUAAAUGGCACGUGUUAUUGUUCUAUUGAAUUUUAAUGCGUUCCUAGAGAAAGCUAAGUUGAAAGAUGAUGGUAGAAACUACACGGACUGGGUCCAUAAUUUGAGGAUUGCUGCACAGAAGAAUUACGUCCUGGAAGCACCGCUAGGUGCCAAACCCGCCGCAGGAGAAACUCUAGAUGUUAUGAGCACCUGGCAGAGCAAAGCUGAUGACUACUCGACAGUUCGGUGUGCCAUGCUUUACGACUUAGAACCGGGACUUCAACGACAUUUUGAACGUCAUGGAGCAUAUGAGAUGUUCCAGGAGUUGAAGUUAAUAUUUCAAGCAAAUGCCCGGAUAGAAAGAUAUGAAAUCUCCAAUAAGUUCUACAACUGCAAAAUGGAGGAGAAUAGUUAUGUCAGUGAACACAUACUCAGAAUGUCUGGGUACCACAAUCACUUGACUCAGCUGGGAGUUAAUCUUCCAGUUGAUAGUGUCAUUGACAGGGUUCUUCAAUCACUGCCACCAAGCUACAAAAGCUUCAUGAUGAACUAUAAUAUGCAAGGGAUGGAUAAGACAAUUCCCGAGCUCUUCGUGAUGCUAAAGGCUGCGGAGGUAGAAAUCAAGAAUGAGCAUCAAGUGUUGAUGGUCAACAAGACCACCGGUUUCAAGAAGAAGGGCAAAGGGAAGAAGGGAAACUUCAAGAAGAACAACAAAAAAGUUGCUUCUCAAGUAAAGAAGCCCAAGUCUGGACCUAAGCCUGAGACUGAGUGCUUCUACUACAAAGGGACUGGUCACUAAAAGCGGAACUGCCCCAAGUAUUUGGUGGAUAAGAAGGAUGGCAAAGUGAAAGGUAUAUUUGAUAUACAUGUUAUUGAUGUGUACCUUACUAAUGCUCGCAGUAGCACCUGGGUAAUUGAUACUGGUUCUGUUGCUAAUAUUUGCAACUCGAAACAGGGGAUACGGAUUAAGCGAAGAUUGGCUACUACUAUGCACGUAAGCGUACACGCAUGGUUAGCUGAGUGUUGCAGGUAUUCGGGUACAUAUGCACGCGAGCUUGCCGGCCGGCUGAGACAUCAGAAUACAUACACCUAGGGCAUGUUUGGUUACAUUGCCAAUCCAGCCUUGCCCGGCGAGCUUGGCUCUAGUAAGCCGGUUUGAGGGGAUGCAGGCCAAAAAAACAUCAGAUGCACAUACUUUGGUUGCCUGCAUGCCCCUAGUUGCAUGACACAACCAUUUUUGACCCGGUGUUUGGUUGCCCGUAUUGCAUUAGACACACAUAUGACAUGGUGUUUGGUUGCAACCUGCAUAAGGUGUUGUCACCACUUCUAACUAGUGGUGACCUUACCAACAUAAUCUGAACAUGUAGCGUCAGCUAGUUAAACAAAUGACAGUUCAUCCUAACUACUAUCAAAUGACAGUUCAAAUUAUUAAGAGCCAUUGGCCAAAUAGGGGACAGUUCAUCGGUGUUGCUGCUACCAGAUCUUCCUCUUCCACUUCCUAUUCUUCUGCUUCUGCUACUGCUUCUUCUUCUUCUUCUUCUUCUUCUUCUUCUUCUUCUUCUUCUUCUUCUUCUUCUUCUUCUUCUUCUUCUUCUUCUUCUUCUUUCAUCUUCUUCAAAUCCUACACUGACCUUUGUUAAGCCACAUUGCCUCUGCCCACUCCAACCUUUUGUUCUUCCAAGCGUCAUUGUCAAAUGCCUACACACCAUGGCCGGAGCUAACAACAUCGUCAGGCUCGACCUCUUCCUCCUCAGGCACGUGUUCAUCAAAGCCCCACUGAAGGAUCCAGUUAUGCAGAAUGCAACAAGCAAGAACAAGCUUAACCUGAGUGGAUUAUGAGUGGAAUGGCUUCUGAUCCAGGAUCUUAAACUUAUUCUUUAGAGCUCUGAAUGCCCUCUCAACGGUUACUCUAAGGUUGGAGUGUUUGAUAUUAAACAACUCUUGUGCAGUCCUAGGAUGGUUCCUGCCAGAGAACUCGUUGAGAUGGUACCAGGUUUUCCUGAACGGGGGAGAAUACCCGGCCGACAUGCAUAGCCAGCAUCUCCAAGGUAGAACUUGUCGUCAGGGAUGUUGAUCCCAUCAGGUCGACUUAUGUUGUCACUGAGAAUGUUAGCAUCAUGCGCUGACCCCUCCCUGCCAGUUAGCACAUAUGUAAACUUCAGAUCAAAGUCAACAGUAGCAAGCACAUUCUGGCUUGUGUAGUGCUUCCUUCCCCUGCAUGCUGCAGACUGUGACCUAGGAACUCUGGCAGUGACAUGAGUACCAUCUAUUGCCCCAAUGCAAUCCUGAAAAUGGCUUCACAAGUCUAUGUUGGUGCUCAACUUGAACAAUACAAGCAUAUCAAGCCAUGAAAAGUGUAUAUUGUCAAUGCUCACCUUGAAGUAUGGAUGCCAUCUUGGGCUUCCACGAAUCUUGGGUGGAGUCUGACCAGAUGGUCUCCUCAUCAUCUCUCCUCUAAGCUCCCCAAUAGCAAAAAGCACCUGCUUGAAGUACCUAGAGAUGGUCUCCAUUGAUCUCCUGAACGUGUUAUGAAUGACACCUGAACCUCUGGUUAUGGCCAACAACAUGGAGGAACAUGGCCACUUGCUCUUCGACACUGGUGUUGAUGCUAUCUUAUAGCAGCCCCCUGCUCCUGAAGGUCUCGACAAGCCUGCCAAAUGGUGAUUUUUUAAUUCGAAGCAUCCACAGAGCGACGUCAUUGCAGUUGUAGAUGUAGUUCAGAUUUUGGAUCCUCUCCUGUUCACGGAGAAACAAUGGACCAUAGCGGAUCAAAGGUCUCCUAGCAUGAUGAACAGCUCUCUGGUGCAUGAACAUGACCCAUGCCUGAAUCACACUAAUCAGUGUUGCUGCCUGAAUUAUCAGCCUCAUCCAUGUGUCGAUAACCUAGUCGACAUCGACGGUUCGUUCAGUGGGAAAUCGAUCCUACACCUAGCCUAACGGCCUGACCACCGAGCUAACAAAGGGGGGAGGGGGUGCUGCUUACCGGCAUCGGAGACGAGGAUGGCGUGGGGGAGCCAUGGCACCGACUAGGUCAACCAGAUGGUGGCCAACAGCAAGGGGAUCACUAGAUCCGCCGCAAAUGCCGCCACCUCUUCCGCCGCCGCAGCCGCUGCCUCUAGCGCAGAUUUGAAAUUGCAGCUGCCGCCGGUGGUGAGGCGAUGGGAAGAAAGGGGGUACUGGCUAUGGGUGAACGAGUGAAAGGGGGGUGGGGCUAGAUUUGGCACCGAGACGGUGCCAGAUUUCCAUCUCCCGCCAUCGCCCUCGCCCUCGCGUCGCACCCGCCCGUGGGACCUCGCGCCGCACUCAGCCUGGCUCACGAGAAACUGCCAAUCCGAGCGUUUCCAGCGAGCCAGGCUUUGGGCUGCUUUGAGAAGCGUGCUUUGCAGACCCAACAGUGAAUCCAAACAACCAAACAGGCCUCCUCCUUCUCGCGCGGGCCUGGAUGGGCUCGGUGCGGGUAACCAAACACCCCCCUAGUGUGUACAUAAUAUGUCCAGGUCAUCCCAAGCCUGAAAAAGUACAUGUAUAAUUUUUUUAUGGAACGUGCAUUAAGUGAUGUGCACAUGUGAUAAUAAGCCAUGUCUCACAUAUAUUAUCUGCGUCAAAAACACAAAAACAAUAAUUGGUAAUGCAUAAAUACUCAUCGAACACUAGACAAGCUCUUUCUCGGUUUCUUUCCCAGCGUGGUGGGGCUUGAUGGCAGCUAUGUCAUGCCCGUUUGCCAGCCAGUGUUGCUCGGAUGCUUUGCAUGCCCGGCAAUAGUCUCCAUGCGUAACAAUGAAUUGGGGGUUUGAGUUUGUUGAUUAGGAGCUUCGUCGUGGCUUUGCACUUUGGUGGGAUAGUUUACCUAGGGCAGGCCCCGUGCAACAUAUCUUGAGCUAUAUCCAAUAACAUUAAAUAAAUGUUUAGAUAUAACAGUCUCAAUGAUAGUGCACUAUACGUUAGUGUUGUAUCUAAACCAAGUCUUUUUGAUGCAUUUGGUGAGAGAAAACUUAUGGGAUAUCUGCAUUUGAUGUUAAGAUUAAUAUCAAUAUUAAGAUGUGGUUGAUUUCUCUUUCCUCGUUGAAUAAGAUGCUACAUCAGAUCUUUGACUAUGAAAUGAUAUGGCUAACCAUAAUGGGAGUAUCAUAGCUAAUAUAAUGCAUAUCAAUUAGGCAAUUUUAAUGGGGUGGCGCAAAAUUAAAGGAACAAUUGUAUUGGUGCCCCUAGUUGGGUCACACUCGACUGAUUUGCCCCUAGUUUUUCAAUAAUUGCGGUUUUGCCCACCUCACUUCACUCGCCUUGUGUUUUUGCCCUUCCGGGGUGGUUCCGACCAAUGAGCAGUCGCCACGUGGUGAACCGUGAUUGGUCAAAACCGCCCUGGAAGGGCAAAAACACAAGGCGAGUGAAGUGAGCUGGGAAAAACCGCAAUUGUUGAAAAACUAGGGGCAAAUCAGUCGUGUGUGACCCAACUAGGGGCAUGAAUGCAAAAAUCCCAAAAUUAAAUGAAGAAAUAGAUAGUCGAGUAUCAUAUUAUGAUAUUGUAUCAUAAUAAAUUCUAUUCUACUACUGCUCAUUCUAGUAUGUGUUAUGCAUUGGAAUAAAUGAGAUAUGAUACUAAUUUAUAAUAAUAUGCACUACGAUAGUAUCAUACACUAGUAUCAUAUGCAUGAUACUGGUACAUGCACUAGUAGAAAAAGGGUCAUUUGUCCCGGUUCGUAAGGCCCAUCUGUCCCGGUUUAGGAACCGGGACUAAAGGGUCAUUACUAAAGCCCUUGGCCUUUAGUCCUGGUUCUUAUACGAACUGGGACAGAUGGGCCUCCACGUGGCCGCUGCGGCGAGCCCAGGCUGGAGGGCUUUUGGUCCCGGUUGGUGGCACCAACCGGGACCUAUAGGCAUCCACGCGUCAGCUUUUCAGGGGCUAGGGUUUUUGUUUUUUUCUAAAGGGGGGGGGAUUUGGGGGUUUUGUAUGGUUAAUUAAGGUGUUUCACAUAUUGUGUUAGGUAGCUAAUUAAUUAAUAGAGAGAAGUGUCCUCUAUUAUCUCUGUGCUUGGUCGACGCUACGUACUAUACAUAUAGAGAGGCCCUCGACACGCUAGCUAGUAAGCAAAUGAAGGAAACCAUUAAGUACAGAAGUUCAUCAUGCAUACCGAGAGAAGUGAUAUCGACCUCUCCUUCUCCGAGAGAUUGCACGAACAACAAGUUUUCGUAUAUCUAUCCGACGCUACUAGCUAUAUAUAUACAAUAAGAUCUCUUACAAUAUAAUCUCCCCUAAUUAUAUAAGAACUCAGCUUCAACAUGGUAUUCUCCAGCUUUAUUGAUGACAUGGUCAACAAAGAAUCCCGCCAAUUCCUCUUGAAUUGCUUUCAUGCGAUCUUUUGGUAGGAGUUCAUUCUGCAUCUGUCACGUCUAAUUUGAAGAAGGGUGUUAAUACAUAUAUAUGAAUGAAACUCAACAGAAAUGAUGGUGUAAUAAAAUGAAAUUGUGAAUAUUAUUGCUUACGCACAUCAAAUUGUCUUUCAGAGUAGCCCCGCUUAUUUUUGCAAGUCGCGUUGUAGAUGAACUCGCAGACGUAGUAUCCACAGAAAUCAUUCCCUUGUUCCUGCCACAAGCACUUUAUGAGAAAUAGAGGUCAAACAAACUGAUAAUGAAGCAUUAUAAAGGGCAUCAAUGAAAUUAGCUAGAAUCAACGGGAGAUGCACGGAAGUAGCUAGCUAGUAGUACUUACUUUCGGGUAUGUAUAUCGCAGCUCCUUUGGCAGUCCUGGAGCUUUUGCGGUGAACUUUUUCCAAACCCUGCAAGACAAAGAUAAUAAUUAUUACUUGAGAUAUCAGGAAAUGAACAAAAAGUUGCCGAUAUGGUGCGAUAAUGAUCGAUUGAACUUACUUGUUGAGAAUUUUAGUCAUGUCCGCAUAGGUCUCGGGAUCUUUUUGUCUCGAGUCUAAGACGAUUACUAGUCCCUGCUCAAGCUUAAUCUCCAGGAGAAUAUAGUGGAAGCUGCGCACACAUGCAUAACUCAUUAAUUAAUUACAUUACUAUAACCUCGAGUAAUAAGGGAAACCGAAUAUGCACAAGACAGUAACACUCACUUGAAGUUUUAAGGAAAGAGUACUUUAUCUUUGUUUUGAUUUAUUACCAACGAUUUGAGCAAGUUGGCCUCAGCUUCUUUGGCAUUCUUUUUAACAACAUAUUCAUCUAUGAGAUUUGUGUUAAUGAACCCAAUAUCAUAUAUUUCUGCUUUUUUGCACUUGAUGAUCUUCAAUUUGCAUAAUAUAGUGAGGAUAAUUAUAAAUACAUGCAAUGAAAAAGUUGAGCUAUAUAUAGAGACUUAAUGACAGAAGUAGUACUUACAGACAGUAGCAAGUGACCGUUAAUUUAUCGAGGGCCUUUUGAUUGAAAACUGGAAGAACUCCUCAAAUGGAAUAGACAAUAGAUCAAUUCCAACGAGGUCGUGCUCCUCUUUAACUCUCAGCGUCAAAGUAUUCGUCCCCCCAGACUCUCUGCAGGUUUUCAUGUACCAAUCAUGCAACCUUCGCACCAUCGUUGUUAGAGAUUUUUCAUCUUUGACGAGAAGCUUCCCGUAAUGGUAUUUGUGUUCGUCCACCUCCAAGAAUUCAUAAUGUACAUCGUCGGGCAGGUAAUCAUCAAGAUUGGUAUAACCGGGCACCAUCCUAUGAUCAUUAGCAACGAUAUCGCUAGACACCUUGAGCGGGGGGCACGAUUGGUUCGCUUGUUCGCCGAGCUGGGCAAUUUUUUUCCCAGCUCGUCGUUCUGCUAACCUUCGAUCACUGAUAGUACUUCCCGGCCGCUCCGCUUCAAUAUAUACCUUUUCAGUAAUGCGCUCAUAGUUUGUUUUCGGCGGAGACUUUGGUGGUUUCUCAGGGCAGCGAUAGUGCGCUUUAAUUUCACUGAAUCUAUCUUCUCCUCCGGAGGUGGAUGUUUCUUUGCUUUCGCCCAUCAAAGAAGUCCUUCACUUCGGUUUCCACGAUCUUCGCAUUUUCCUCCGCGGUCCUCUCGUAUGGUAACUUCUCUAGAGGCUUGAGAGAUGGACCGAAUCUGUAUUGCCUCCCGCCUCUAGUUGUACUGCUAGAUGCCGGAGCAGACGGAGUGGCUGCGGCUGUCUUCUUUUGUUGCUUAUGAGGCGGAGGUGAAGGACUACAACGCGCCAGAGCAGCCAGAGUGGUGGCGGGUCUCUUCCGUCCUUGCUGGCGAGGCGGAUCAGGAGGAGGCUGGCUGCUCGAGCACGCCGGCACAGGCGGAGAAGGAGGCGGAGUGCCGCCACACGCCGAAGAAGGAGGCUGAGUGCCCUGAUCACUCGCCGGAGGAGGAGGCGGAGGAGGAGGUGGAGUGCCCUGACUCGCCGGAGGAGGAGGAGGCAGAGGCGUCCAGUUUGGAAGGUUGAUGAGCUCCUUCCGCCAUAGGCAUGGAGUCUUCAGAGAAGAACCCGGCCGAGUCUCCCCUUCACCCGUAGGGUGGUCAAGCUCGAGGUCCUCAAAUCCUUCAGUUAUUUCAUCCACCAUCACCCUAGCAUAUCCUUCUGGAAUCGGCCGACAGUGAAAAGUUGCGCCAGGUUCAGGAGGUGCAACAGAGCCAACAACCGCCUUCACUUUCAAUUUCAUCCAUUGCGUCAUAAGGUAGCAAUGUUGAGACUCCGUGAUUAAGUCCACGGGGUAGCUAGCAGGAGCCGUGAAGAUAGGCUCCAGCUGAAGCAGCUUGGUGGAAGCCACGCUGCUUCUCCACUGAGAUGGCGGGGUAGCUUCAGGGGAAGCUUCGGCAGGUCGCUUGCUGCGAUCUGCUUCUCGUUCCUCUAUCGCUUGUACCCUUGCGUGCAGCGCCUGCAUUUGGGUCUACUCCACUUUCUUCCUCCUCUCCUGGCAUUUGUAACCGCCUACGUCCAGAAACCCAGCCUUCCACGAACGGAGCCUGGCGUGCCUCGUGUCCGUCCAGGGUGCUCAGGAUUCCAAAGGGCAAUUGUGAGCUCGCCGUUCUCUCUGUCUAGAACGAAUGUCCCUUGUUGCGCUGCAUCGAUAUACUGCAGUUGCUCGUGACGGGUAUUCACAAUUGCUCGUUCGUCCAACGGCACUUCCCUGAUACAGGGUCUAAGGUUCCGCCAACCCUGAAGAACCAAGUCCGGCAACGGUCUGGCCAGUUCAAUGUCUCUGGUUUGACCCCUUUAUCAAGCAGGUCAUUCUCAGCCUUGACCCACAACGGUUGGGCUUUGAGGUAGCCACCUGACCCCGUGCGAUGGUGAAGCUUCUUCUUCACAGCAUUUUUCUUAUUUGUCGCUGACAUCUUCUUACUCUUGCCCGAUGUCUUGUGGGCCACAAAUUCAUCCCACUGAUCUCUGAUCUUCUCAUACCGGCCGGUGAAUUCUGGUGUCUCUUCUUUGUCGACAAACGUUGUUUUCAGCUCAUUCUUCCACCUCCUGAAUAGUUAUGCCAUCUUCUUAAGAUCACGAGACUUGAUCAAUUGCUCUUUAACUGGCUUCUCCAGAUCCUCCUCUGGCGGUAGGGUGAAAUUUGCCUUCAACGCGGUCCAAAGAUCAUCUUUCUGCAUAUCAUUGACAUAAGACACCUCAGGGUCAUCUUUAGCCGGCUUAUACCACUAGUGGAUGCUGAUCGGGAUCUUGUCCCUAACAAGAACCCCACACUGAGCAGCAAAUGCUUCCUUUGUCCAGAUGGUUCAAUCGGUUGGCCAUCACGUGCGAUUGCUGUGAUCUCAAACCUUUCAUCGGAGCGCAACUUUUUCUUUGGGCCUCGUCUCUUUACCGAAGAUGUGCUCGAUCCGGAGGGCUAGAAAAAAGAAGAAAGAUGAGGGUUAUUAAUUAAUAUGUGUACAUACCAAAAACAAUUAAUGCAUCAAUUAGCUAUAGUCAGCACAUGCUUAAUUAAUAUAUAUACCUGGCCGGACUCCGUUCGGUCACCGGAGUCGUCAUCACGGUGUCCUUCUUCCACCGGCAUUUGGUCACCGGAGCCGUCAUCAAGGUGUCCUUCCACCGGCAUUCGGUCACCAGAGCCAUCAUAAUCAUGUCCUUCCUCCUCCAUUGUUCGAUCAUCGUAGUCUGCUUCUUCACACUGUCCUUCCAGACCAUCGGUUUCAUUGAGAAACGACAUGACGGCAUCACUUCCGGCUGCGAUUAUGUCCCCCAACAUCGCUUCUGUUUCUUCGUCUCGGGGUGCUCCAUAGUUUCUGCAAAUAUUUACAACAUGGAAAUUAUUAUUCAAACAUGACAGAUGGAUAUAUUAGUGGCAAACGUAGAACUAGCUAGCUAAUCACAAUAAGGAAUCAUAUUAGUGGCCUCGACGCUUCUCUAGGGUUUGGGUGGCCUCGGCAACGCUUCAAGGGUUUGGGUGGCCUCGACGACAACACUCUUUUAACUUGUUAAAUUUGGCUGACCUCGAGAGAGUUUGUCGGGUAGGGGCGCGGGAGGGGGUAGGAGACCGACAUCGUUUUUUUCUAGGGUUUGGGUGUCUAAGUUAUCACGGUCGAGAGUUUUGGUCGAGCGAGAGGGUCGGGGGGGGUGCUCUUGUGGUAUAAGUUAUCACGGUCGAGAGCGGGUAUAUAUAUCGACCGCCCCUCAUGUCGAAGUUAUUCGGGAGGGGAUUAUAUCGACAAGACGACAUACAUACAUGGGAAAAUAAUGUUAUCGGGGAGGGGGUAUAUCGACCCCCCCCCUUGUAUUGAAGUUAUCGGGAGGGGGUAUAUCGACAACGACAUACCCGAUAAAAAAUAAGACGACAAAGAAGAAAUAAAAAGAUGAGAAGAUCGAAGAAAAAAAGAAGAAGAAAAAAGGAGAAGAAGAAAGGAAUAGAGGAGAAGAAGAAAAAAUAGAAUAUUCUUCUUCUCUUUUUUCCCUUUUUUCAUCUUCUUAUUUAUUUCUCCUCUUCUUCCUCUCCUCUUCUUCUCCUUUUUCUUUUCCUUCUUCCUAAACUAAACAUAAACUAAAAUAAUCCUAAAACUAAACGAAACUUCUCCUCCUCCCUUUCUUUUCUUCAUCUUUUUUUCAUCCUAAAACUUUAUGAACAAAAUUACAACAGAAAAAAAACAAUAAAAAUUCUAUGAACAAAAUUACAAUGAAAAAAAAAAUAAAAAUUCUAUGAACAAAAUUACAACAAAAAAAAUCAUUAAAAUUCUAUAAAAAAUGACAUAUUCUUUGCAUAUGAACAUACAAACAUUUGCAUAUUCUACAAUAAUAUCACCAAAAAAAUUCUAUGAACAGAAAAAAAUCCGAACUUUUGCAUAUGAACAUACAUACAUCAUCAUCGUCAUCAUCUACUACUACAAUAUGAACAAAAAAAAUCUAUAUAUGUGAACAGGGCCUUCGUCGGUGACGUCGGGGCGGGCGGCGGCGGCGUUGGGGCGCGGGAGGAAGGGGGAGAGGAGGGGGAAUGUCGCGAUGAGGCUCAUAGUGCAGGCGAGCGGCGGCGAGGUCGGGGCAGGGCUCGGCGACGGCGAGGUCGGGGCAGGGCGCGUCGAGGUCGGUGCAGGGUACGGCGAGGCCGGGGUAGGGGUGACGGCGACGACGGAGACGGCGGUCGGGGGCGGCAGCCUGGCAGCGUCGAUGUCGUCGGGGCGGCAACUGCGAGAUGAGAAAUGGAAAUUUUCACAAGUCUUGCUUAUAUACACGAAGCAUUGGUCUCGGUUCGUGCCACCAACCGGGACCAAUGCCCCCUUUAGUCCCAGUUGGUGCCACCAACCGGGACCAAAGGUCUCUUUUCAGCAGCCCAAAGGGCGGGGGGUCCCGGUUGGUGGCACCAACCGGGACUAAAGGGGUGGCAUUGGUUCCGGUUGGUGCCACGAAGCGGGACCAAAGGCCCCCUUUCGUCCCUGUUCGAGCCACGAACCAGGAUCAAUGGUCUUGUGCUGGAACUGUCGCGGUGUGGUGGGAUGUUUAGUCCCACCUCGCUAGUCAAGAAGCUUCGAUAGUGGUUUAUAAGCGUUGCUGCGCUGACCACUUCGAACUCCUCUCUAAUGCAGGCUUACAGGCCUAAAGUCACUUUUAUCUGCCUGUGGGCUUACUGGGCCUAAUGCAGGCCUGAAUCCUGGUCCAUGGGUGGGUUUCUAGUCGUAUUCACGCCGUGGUGGCCCAGUAGGUGGCAUUUUUAUUUUUUUCCAGUUUUUUUAUUAUCUUUGUUGCUUUAUUUAUUUUAUUUUGUUUUUAUUUACAACAAAAUACUUACUAUUUUUCAGUGAUUCUUUUUGAUUUUAGGUAAUAAAAAUAAUAAACUUUCUGUUAGUGCCAUUAGUUUUCCAAUUUGAAUAGUUUAAAUUUGAAUUCUUUGAAAUUUGUGUGAGUCACUACUUUGUGAUUAACUUUACUAUAAAAAUAAAAUACUUGCUGUUUUUCAGUGAUUCUUUUUGAUUUUAGGUAAUAAAAAUAAUAAACUUUUUGUUAGUGCCAUUAGUUUUCCAAUUUGAAUAGUUUAAAUUUGAAUUCUUUGAAAUUUAUGUGAAUCACUAGUUUGUGAUUAACUUUACUAUAAAAAUAAAAUACUUACUGUCUUUCAAUGAUUGUUUUUUAUUUUAGGUAAUAAAAAUAAUAAACUUUCUGUUAGUGCCAUUGGUUUUCCAAUUUGAAUAGUUUAAAUUUGAAUUAUUUGAAAUUUGUGUGAAUCACUAGUUUGUGAUUAACUUUACUAUAAAAAUAAAAUACGUACUGUUUUUUAGCGAUUCUUUUUGAUUUUAGGUAAUAAAAAUAAUAAACUUUCUGUUAGUGCCAUUAGUUUUCUAAUUUGAAUAGUUUAAAUUUGAAUUCUUUGAAAUUUGUGUGAAUCACUAGUUUGGGAUUAACUUUACUAUAAAAAUAAAAUACUUACUGUUUUUUAGUGAUUCUUUUUGAUUUUAGGUAAUAAAAAUAAUAAACUUUCUGUUAGUGCCAUUAGUUUUCCAAUUUGAAUAGUUUAAAUUUGAAUUCUUUGAAAUUUGUGUGAAUCAUUAGUUUGUGAUUAACUUUACUAUAAAAUAGAUUUUGGAGUGAUUCUUUUUCCUGUUAUUGAAUAUUACAGUGUUUUAUCAUUAUAUUCAAAAACAUUUUUUAUAUUUUAGUUUCUAACAAUUUUUUUAUGAUAAUUCUUUUUGCUAUUAAAGUUUCUAACAAAAAAAGUUAUUUAUGAAAAUUCUUUUUGCUUAUAAUGUUUUGAACAAAAAAUACUUUGAUAAUUUUAGUUGUAUAAAUUUUAUAUAAUUUUAGUUUUAAUAAUACUAGAGGUUUAUGAAAGCUUUUUAGUUGAUUCCUUUUGCUAUUAGAGUUUCAUUAAAGUUUUCUAGUUCAUUGUUUUUUCUAUUAGAGUUUCAUUAAAGUUUUCUAGUUCAUUCUUUUAGUUUAUUAUUUUUUCUAUCAGAGUUUCAUAAAAGUUUUCUAGUUCAUUAUUUUUUCUAUUAGUUCAUUCUUUUUGCACUAAAUGACCCUGAAAUUGAAAACCACUACAAAUGAACUCUGAAAAGGUUAAAAGUUGGCAUGGUAUCAUCAUUUCACCCAUAUAGCAUGUGCUAAAAAGUAGAGAUGGUUACGGCAAAAACUAGAUGCACUUCGUGUACAAAAUGCACAAUCUCUUUCGAAGUAUCAGGGUUUCAUACGAAAACUCAUCUGUUACAAAGGGAUUUCAUUUUUUUGAACUUAUUUGAACUCCAGACUUUUGUGUGUUCAUAAUGCACCAUUCAAAGCCACAUCAUCAAUUUUCAACCAUUUCUGACUUCAUUUGUUAUUUUUUCAUUUAACCAUUCUGCUUGUUUGCCUCAGCCACUUCGAGAAACAUAAUUAUGUGUGUCUGUCAUCGUACAUCCAUUGCCGGUUCAUCUGCUUGCAUUAUAUAUAAUUAUGUGUGUCAAAAACCAUUACAGAUUCACAUGGAUAGAUAAAUGACCAAAUUAAUAAAAGUUCAUCAUCACAUUAAAACCAAAGUACAUAUAUAGUUCAAAUUGAACAACAUAUAGCUCUCCAGAGCAUCUACUUAAACCAUACAUUGAAACUAUUUAAAACAUUUCAAUGCAACAACAAAUGCGAUCAUUAUCACACAACCAAGGUAACAAUUGAUCCAACGGUAUAAUGAUACCAAGCCUCGAUAUGAAUGGCAUAUUUCGUAAUCUUUCUCAUCUUCAACCGCAUUGCAUCCAUCUUGAUCUUGUGAUCAUCGACGACAUCCGCAAUAUGCAACUCCAAUAUCAUCUUCUCCUUCUUAAUUUUUUUUAAUUUUUUCCUUCAAGUAAUUGUUUUCUUGUUCAACUAAAUUUAACCUAUCGACAAGAGGGUCGGUUGGAAUUUAUGGUUCAACUACCUCCUAGAUAAAUAAAAUCUAUGUCACAUUGGUCGGCAUAAUUGUCAUAAACAAUAAAUGAACCAAAUAGUUAUAAAAAGAUAAUAUAUACCACAUCUGAAUCAUAGCCAGGACGAGGGCCGACGGGGGCGGUUACCAAAACCAUCACACUAUAUUAUAACAAGCAAUAGUAAUAGUAAGAAAAUUAGACAAGUAUCUAUCUAAAGUAAGAAUAUGUUUUCUUUCAGAAAGAAGAUAAGAACAAGAGGCUCACCACGGUGGUGCCGGCGACGAGAUCGACACAGGCGAUCGACGGCGGUGAAGACAGGGAUGGGACGUGACGGACCGCUAAACCUAUGCAAAUCUCGGGGAAAAUGGAGUUUGGAGGCCGAGCUUCGAGAGGAGAAAGCUUAACUAGUGUGGCUCGGUCAUUUCAUCGAACAUCUCAUGUGCAUAGGAGGUGAGCUAGAGCACCCAAAUGCCCUCCCCUCGCCGGCCAGAAAAAACAGAGCACUGUGGAGUGCUCUGCUGCGGCGAUGGAAUAUAUAUAGGCAGCUCAUUUGUCCCGGUUUGUGGCUGAAACCAAGACAAAUGGGUCCAGACGAACUGGAACCAAUGCCCACGAGGCCCAGGCCAGCCCCCGGACUCACGAACCGGGACAUGUACUCCCAUGGAUCCCGGUUCGUGACUGAACCGAGACUAAUGGGCUAGCCAGGCCCGAACCAAAGCCCUGUUUUCUACUAGUGAUAAUACUCCCGGUACAACCAGGCUACUAAGAUAUAGGCAUUAAAAGUGCACCGAAAUUGUUUACACAAACCGGUACAACGAUUAAGCAUUAUAUCUGCGUGGUCGAACGUAUAUCUCUUUUUUUUUUGCUAGGCAAACGUACACGUCACUCCAUCGAUCUUCAUUUCUUCGGCGCGAGAACACGAUGAAGGAUCCAUCUGGUACUGGUGGGUGUUGACAGAUACAUGAUCUAGCAAAAUGCCAUGUGGCUUCAACACCGCUUUGGCAAUCUUCAACACCAAAACAAACAGUGCCGCCUCUUUCAAAAAAAUAAAUGAUGAAAAGGUGCCGCCCCCAUUUUCGACGCUUCUCCGGCGUACCAUAUAUAUACCCCCACAGGAAAACAUUUUAGGAUCGAACAGAGCUUGGCACUUGAUUCCACUCAGAGACUGCAGCGAGAGUGGAGACAUUGCACGAGUCACCGACCUUACGAGACCUACACAGAUGGUACGUACUAAUGUCGUCUAAGCAAUAUCAAAUAACUAGAUUAGUGCACACACUCUAUGGUCAGAUUCAUCUGUAGUUUAUAGAGUAGUAAUAACAACUAGUACGUACGUGCUGGUGAAUUGGCGAUAAAUGCAGGUGCGUCCGCGUGAGACGUGCUUACUAAUUACUCUUGCAGGGCAUCAUCGGCAUCCGCACGGCCACCCUGCUCCUCGCUGCCCUCGCGUGGCGUAGUGUGCUCGUUGCCGCCGCCGGCGAGGCGGACGGCGUGUUCAACGUCAAGGACUACGGUGCUCGAGGCGACGGCACCACGGACGACACCAAGGUACGUACGCACGCGCGCGACGCCCGAGUUGACGUUGCGCUCUCGAUCGAUAUAGCUCACGCAUACGUGACGGCCGGAUGUGUGUUGACUAUCUGUCCUGCGUGCGAAGGCGUUCAUAGACGCAUGGAGCGCGGCGUGCGGCGCCAGAGGCUCGUCGGCGUCGCUGCUCGUACCGGCGGGCAAGUCCUUCCUCGUCGGCCCCGCCAGAUUCAGCGGGCCCUGCGCCUCCACCAGAAUUACCGUCCAGGCACGCAUGCACCGUCCGUCUUUCCUGAUCUGCUCUUAGAUCUGGGCCGUGGUUUGCGUGGCUUCAUCUGACGGUCAGGAAAUCUGCUGCCCUUGCUUUGACUGUCGUAGGUCAUGGGCACGAUUACGGCGCCACCGCCGGGCGCAUGGAGCGGGCAGAAAUAUUGGAUGAUGUUCUACCAGGUCCAGGGGCUCACGGUUACCGGCGGCAGCACCGGCUUGCUCGACGGCAGAGGCCGGUCGUGGUGGUGGAGCGAUCAAUGCAACCGCUACGGUGUGAGAGCCCAACUCACCUCUUGCAAGAAAGAACGAAAAUCUUUUAAUUCCUCCGUGCAUUUGUGCCUUUAGAUUCAUUUUUCAAAUCUUCGUCUGAGAGAAAGUGUAUUUAAUUGUCUAUCUUUUCUUCAAGGCGAAGCAUUUAUCAGUUUUCACUCACCUGUUAUUGUUCUUUUCUUUCAGGACAUAUAUAAGGCGCCGACGGUUAGUACAAACGUGUAAAGCAAGUAUAGUGUCGGAGGCGGAUUUGUGGUUUAUGGGGACACCUACACACUAUAUGAGAAAAAAAUUAGUAAUUCAACAAAAAGUCAAAAAUUCCUGAAAAUAUUUUUGAAAUAAACUUGACCUUCUAUUGUACUAGUGAGAAAAAAUUCAUAAAAAGAAAAUUUUCCCUUUGACUUCUUUUCAAAAAAAGACAAUUUUUUGGCUAAAAUAGUGUGAAUAGUGACCUAUAAUAGCAAAUAAAUUUUGUCUUUUUUGCUGUGAGGUCAACUUUUGUUUUUUUUCAUGGAAAAUUAUAUUCUAGUGCAAAAUUAAGUCAAGUUUUUUGUCAAAAUAGUUCUUAGCUAUUUUGACUUUUUAAAUAUUUUAAAAAAUCCUCAUAUAGGGUGCAUAUACAACCAGGAACACAAGUGUAUUUCCCGUAUAGUGUCUAGAUAAUUAGCAUUCGCAAAUCAACAUGCAUGUAACCUCAUUGCGUACUGCGUGCCACCGCAUGGAUCGUACAGGCCUUGGUGGUCAUGAACUGCACCGACGUGGAGCUGAGCAAAUUCAGCAGCAAGAACAGCUCGCAGAUGCAUAUUGCCGUCAGCCAGAGCAGCAAGGUCCACCUGACGCAGCUGACCACCACCGCGCCCUGGGACAGCCCCAACACCGACGGCGUGCACAUCGACCAGAGCGAAGACGUCCGCGUCACCAGAUCGACCAUGGGCACCAGCGGCGAAUGCGUCUCCAUCGGCCCCGGGAGCCGAUUCGUCACCGUGGACGGAAUCGUCUGCGGCCCCGGCCGUGCUGUAAGGUAACAAAGGGUUACAAUAAGGAGGCUUCUUCCAUCUGCAUUUUCUAUUUACCAUGCACUCCAAGAAGAGGAGUAAAAUGACGUGAUUGUGUUUCUUGGCUAGUGUGGGGAGCCUUGGCAAGAAGGGAGCAACCGAAUCCGUGGAGUACAUCGACGUAAAAAACGUCCACUUCAUCAAUACCUUGAGUGGAGCAAGGAUCAAGACGUGGCAGGUACAGUACUGAGGUGCCAUGAAACCAAGCUGAAACCGGCCUUCUCUUGCUAACUUCCGGGUGAUUACACUGUUUCUUCGCACUGCAGGGUGGGAAAGGUUACGCGAGAUCCAUCUCCUUCACCAACAUAAACUUCACCAACGUGGACAAUCCUGUGGUCAUCAACCAGUUCUAAGCAGACCCCUACCACGUCCCAAACAUGGUAGUAGUGCAUGUGUUCAUUAACUGUUGGACUAUCUGUGUACGUGUGGAGCAGCUAGUGCUAAUGUUUGUGCGUCUUCUUCUGGGGAUCAUAAUUUGCCGUAGGGGGCGGUGGCGGUGAGCAACAUAACGUACACGAACCUCAAGGGGACUUCGAGGUACAGGACGGCCGUCGAGUUCGUCUGCAGCGAGAGCCGCAGCUGCACCAACAUCCACGUCAACUCCGUGGCGAUCACAUUUCCGUACGGAGAAGCCCUGGCCCUCUGCCAGAACGCGCAAGGGGACACCUCCGGAUAUGUCUACCCCAAGAUCCCUUGCCUUAGAUAAUGUAUGUAACAGAAAAAAAAU